This 64653-nucleotide long non-coding RNA is filed under the name Nicotiana tabacum (common tobacco). Its description in RNAcentral is "long non-coding RNA (NTAB_LNC018549)". The record is from RNAcentral. Lineage: Eukaryota; Viridiplantae; Streptophyta; Magnoliopsida; Solanales; Solanaceae.
UUCUUGCUGAAAUCCUCUCCCAGAAUGCACAUGUUGAGUACUUGCAACGCCAUAAUCUCAAUGGCAGCACUGAUAGAGAGACAUUCAAGAAAGUCGUACCUGUCAUCACUUAUGAAGAUAUUCAGCCUGAUAUCAAACGCAUAGCCUAUGGUGAUAAAUCUCCUAUCCUCUGCUCCCAACCCAUCUCUGAAUUAUUGUCAAGGUUCUCCUUCUUUUCUUUUCUUUUUCCCGAAUAGAAAGUGAAAAUUUAUCUGUAUCGAUCUCACAUUUUGGGUUGUACAUAUUGAGUAUGUGACUUAUCGAAAAGCUUAAGCUGUUAGGAAAAAUACACUUCUAUUUAGUAGUUAAUUAUGUCUUCAACAAUACAUGCAUGUUGCUCUUAAUUAUUUUUUGCUAAAGGAUGUACUGCAUGCAGUUCUGGCACCUCUGGAGGGGAGAGCAAAUUGAUACCAACAACAGAGCCAGAGAUUGGGAGGAGACUACAGCUUCACAAACUUGUGAUGUCUGUGUUGAGCCAAGUGGCUCCAGAUUCUGGAAAGGGCAAAGGAAUGUAUUUCAUGUUCAUAAGCCCUGAACAAAAGACCCCAGGAGGAUUAAUAGCUCGCUUUCUUACAACUAGUUAUUACAAUAGUCCUUACUUCAACUACAGUCGUCUUCAUAACCCCCAUUGUAACUACACUAGUCCAACUGCAGCCAUUCUCUGCCCAGACUCUUACCAAAGCAUGUAUUCCCAAAUGCUUUGUGGCCUCUGCCAAAACAACCAAGUCCUCCGUGUUGGCUCCUUUUUUGCGACCAGCUUCGUUCGUGCCAUCCGAUUCCUGGAGAAGCACUGGUCUCUACUUUGUAACGAUAUCCGAAGCGGAACCAUUAACACUCAAAUAACUGAUCCUUUAGUGAGAGAGGCAGUGAUGGAAGUCCUCAAACCUGACCCAACAUUAGCUGAUUUCAUUGAGGUUGAAUGCACCAAAGAUUCAUGGCAAGGGAUCAUCACUAGGUUAUGGCCUAAUACCAAGUAUGUGGAUGCUAUUGUGACUGGAUCCAUGUCACAAUAUAUACCGAUACUUGAUUAUUACAGCAACAAUCUCCCUCUUAUCAGUACUCUGUAUGCUUCCUCGGAAAGCCACUUUGGAAUCAACUUGAACCCUUUUUGUAAGCCCAGUGAUGUCUCUUACACCCUUAUUCCCACCAUGUGCUAUUUUGAGUUCUUACCGUAUCGCGGAAACAGUGGAGUCAUUGAUUCUAUAUCCAUGCCCAAGUCGCUUAAUGAGAAAGAACAACAACAAUUGGUUGAUUUGGCUGAUGUCAAGAUUGGCCAGGAGUACGAGCUUGUUGUUACCACAUAUUCUGGUAUUUUCAAAUGCCAAACAAAAAGCUCUCGGCACAUUUUCUUUUUCUUAUUUAUAAGUCAAACAUGCGGUCUGCUGAUGCUUAGCUUUGCUUGAAUUUAUGCCAUUUCAGGACUCUACAGAUAUAGAGUCGGUGAUGUGCUUCAGGUUGCUGGAUACAAGAACAACGCGCCUCGAUUCAACUUCCUAUGCCGGGAAAAUGUAGUCUUGAGUAUUGGUGCUGACUUCACUAAUGAAGUUGAGCUACAAAACGCAGUGAAAAAUGCAGUGGGCAAUCUGGUGCCAUUUGAUUCUCAGGUAACCGAGUACACCAGCUAUGUCGAUAUUACCACCAUUCCAAGCCACUAUGUCAUAUUCUGGGAACUGAAUGCGAAUGACUCUACCCUGGUUCCUCCUUCAGUCUUUGAAGAUUGUUGCCUCACAAUUGAAGAAUCUCUUAACUACUUCUACCGCGAGGGCCGUGCGUCUAAUGAAUCCAUCGGGCCUCUAGAAAUUAGGGUGUUGGAAAUUGGAACUUUUGACAAGCUCAUGGACUACUGCAUGAGCUUAGGUGCUUCCAUGAACCAAUACAAGACGCCCCGCUGUUUGAAAUAUGCACCCCUUAUUGAGCUAUUGAACUCUAGGGUCGUGUCCAGCUACUUCAGUCCCAUGUGUCCAAAAUGGGUUCCUGGCUACAAGAAAUGGGACGGCAACAAUUAAAUGUCAAACUUCCGAUUUCCCUGCUUGUACCUUCAUUCACUAUCCAGAAAAAAGACAACCAUUUGUGGAUUAUUUAGUCAAUCGUCAUCCUAGCUAAGUUAGUCUUUCGUGAACAUGGUAUGGAUUUGUAUUUGUCACAAAUAAAAUAUGGCACUUUUUAUUUCUGUAAUGUGUUAAAGUAGUUUAGUGCAGACACAUAUGAGGAGAAGAAGUAAAAAAAAGAAAGGAGGUUUGUAGUCACUUUUAGUGCCCAUAUUUUAUCCAAUCUAAAAAAUAUCACUCACCCAACCCGUGUAAUAUUCAGGAAAAAAAAGAAGACAUGUAAUGUUGCGCGGGUUGUACGGGUAAUGAGGAAAAAAUCCAAUUUUGCCGGCACUAGGCCUAAGAUUUUCCUGCAGUCUCGGCAUAAGUUUACAAGUCUGGCAAGUGAGAAACAACCCUGUACCAAGUAGCAUUAUAAAACUAUAACCCAUCUAUCAACAGUAAUUUUUUAGAGGAAACUACUGCAAAAGUGUUAAAAGACUGGAUUAUCAAACAUUUACAAGCUUUGAAAGGAAAGACUCCUGAUUACCAGGGAAAUAUAACAGAAAGACUUGUAAAUUGCAACUUCAAUUAAAAAAAGGAUUUGUAAGUUGCAACGUGAAGAACGAAAUAAGAAAACUGAUUCUUGGAAUCAAUCAAGGAUUUGCUAAAUUCUUUCAAAUGUUUCUCUGUUAGCAAGCCUCAUUUGUCUGUACAGUUGAUCGCAUGAACAUCAUUUGCUAGUUCACUCUUUAAUAUAUAGAGCUAUAUUUCUUCCUCUUUUCCUAUACAAAUAAACUUGUAAGCAGUCUAAUAUAUGUUUCAUAUUACACUGCUAAUGAAAAGAAGAUAGAGAGAUUGUUGACAUGACCUAUCUUUAGCUUGCAGCUCAGAGCGAAGCAGUCCUUGCAAAUCUGCCUUCCGAGACUUGGACACCCCAUAUAUUUAUUUAGUUGAUGAUUUGCCAUGGCCCUGAGUUGAACCACUGUCAUAUUAUACAUAUCUUCAGUACAAGGUGAUGGUCUAAUAGAUGACAUGGGAGCAACAAUUUUAGCAUUAUAAGCAUUACAGUCAUCAUAGGAGCUGGAGCUGUGAAUGACCCGCGGCUCUUGACUUGUUCUGCCAUAUGAUUUUACCAACCUAUUCCGAACAUUUCUCUUAUCUUUAUUCGCUUGAUCUUGUUUCUUGAGUGGGACUGAGAAAUUGCACUAGCAUCUGCAAAACCAGCAGCAGCUCUUUUGGCUCGAGCGAGUUGAGUUUUAUUGAUGGUAUUGUCCCCUCUUUAGCUUUUUUAGUGGCUUGCUUCUGUCAUUCCUUUUAGAAUUCAACAGAUGUGGCAGUGAUUCCUCUAUAGUACAAUCAGCAAAACUUCUUGUCCCUUUAUUCGACAUGGAGAUUUUAUGCUGGCAAUAUUUAUCUUUACAAAAUACUUUGAUGUUUUUUAUCAUUAUUUGAACAGCCUUCACUCCUUCCUGCGUCCGUCUGCUGCUAUAUUCUUUGGCUUCUUGUUCUGAAGCAUGUCUGUCCUCUUAGAGUUAUUCCUGCAGGCUAUUCAAUUAAGCAAAUACAGGCAUCACCUUAAAGUAGUUUAUUCAUGCUUGGACUUUAAUUAAGAACUGUAACAUUCAUAAUAUUUGCAAUUUAUUAUCCUGAAAUGCUAAAUUUAGGAGAAAAAUUGAUCGUAUAAAAAUUUAAAAUCCUUUGUUCAAAAUACCAAGAAGAGAUUGGACGAUGAACGAAAACUGAACUGGGAGUGUAAGAUUCUUUAAGUUCUAUUGUAAAAGAAAGUCAUUUUUCUUCCUUUUGUUACACAAAAAUUAUUUUACUUUGCUCUAUUUAUCACAAAAGUCACCUUGGCCAGAUUUUAUAAUACAUUUACUUGAAAAGUCUAUUAUGCCCUUAACAUUAUAAAUCUUCUCAUUUAUGUAAUACCUUCUAUAUGAUAUACUAUAUAAUAUAUUUUUACCUAGGUAUUUUACUUAUAAUUAAAAUAACUUUAAAUUUUUUUAUUUAUUAUUUUUAUAAUAUAUUCAUACAUUUAAUUUUUUUCAUGGCAUUCACUUUGUUUAAUCAUAUUUAAACAUGAACAUAUUUUAAAUAUAAAAAUAAUAAUAAAAUAUUUUUUUUAAUAUUUAUUUGAAAUAAUAACAAACAGAUUUGUUUAACAAAUGAUAGUUUUUUAUAGUCAAUAAAUAUUUUUUAUAAAUAUUCAAAGAUAUUUGUGUUUACUAUUAAGAUUUUUUAAAGCUUUAUAUGCUAAUAUUAUUUAUUUGAAAGUAUUAAUCUGAUGUGUCAUUGUGCUAAAUAUGGGUAUUUUAUUUAUUGGAUUAAUGAGUAUGGCUUGACUGAUAAAUCAGUAAACUUUGAUUUUAUAAUUUUCAUUAAAAAUAUUUUAUUAAGCUUGGUUAAGAACAUGGACUUGAGUUUUGUUCACGGUAAUAUUACUGACAAAUUUAAUAAUGUUACUUAUGUAUCUUAAAAAUUAACGUUAAGAGAAAAAAAUUAAAUGUACAAAUAUAUUAUAAAAAUAAUAAAUAAAAUAAUAUAAAGUUAUUUUAAUUAUAAGUAAAAUACCUGGAUAAAAGUAUAUUAUAUAGCAUAUAAUAUAGAAGAUAUUACAUAAAGGAGAUGACUUGUAAUGUCAAGGGCAUAUAGACUUUUCACGUGAAUAAUUUGUAAAAUCUGGUCAAAAUGAUUAUUGUGAUAACUAGAGGAUAGUAAAAUAAUUUGUGUAACAAAAGAAAAAAAAUGACUUUUGGGUAAUGAACAUAAAGUUGAACGACUUUUAAGUAACAAAAGAAAAAAAAAUGACUUUUGGAUAACGAACACAAAGUUGAAGACCACCCAUGAAAUUUACUCGAAUACGAUUGUUUAAGUUUAAUUUUAGUUUGAAAGAAGAUAGGGCUGGUCCCUGAAUAUCAUCUUGGCUUUUAAACAUCAAAUCAAAGGUGGAACCUCUAUCUUUAAAUCCACCUAGGGGUCAGACAUGGUUAAAUGAUUAUAUCUUCAAUCUAAGAUGUUUUAGCAUGUUGGUGGUUCCACUUGUAUUUUUUAUUGCAUUUCUGAAGUCUGCUAUAUGAAUAAACAAUCCGGCAUCUGAAAAUUUAAAAUGGAACAAGGUAGACAGCUAAUAAGCUUACUGUUUUUUGAUGAUUGAGAUGCCAAGACUGAAUUAUUUAUUGGCCUAGAUAGUGAAACCAUCCUUGAAUUCUACAGUCCUGAUAUCCUUUGAGCUGUGAUUGUCUAUUGCUUCUGUUUUGUUAAGACACGUGUUAGCAACAUGUUAUGUGGUAGGUAAAACGUUAAUACAGACAAGGAUCACAUAUUAACAUAAUAACUAUUAUUAGUCAAACAAUCAUUUAAUAAUAAAACUUAACGAAUCAAUUCAGAUUUAAUAAUCCAAACUGAGCUGCUCUGUGUAAUUGAUUAAAUGUUAUGACAUUUCAAAGAUAGAGAUCUGGAUUCAAAGCAAUUUCUUUAUUGUAGUAGUACUGUACAUGGUAUGAAAGCGAGGUGCUAAACGUUUUGAAGUUUCAACUACCUAAAACAAAUUGACAAAAUGAGAGAGAGACAUGGGUAUAUUUUAUUUAGAACUAGUACUGGAAAACCCCAAAACUUCCUUAAUAUAAAGUCCCACUUGAUACAGCAGUCAAAUAUUCAUUUUCUUCACCUUGUGUGUACAAAUUACUAAUAUAGUUUCUUCACAAUUAUGGAAAGAAGCGUAGCUAAUGAGGCACCAAAGGCCACAAUAAUGGUGGAGGACUACAAGAAGAAUCUUGAGUUCAUUGAAGAGGUGACUAGCAAUGUUGAUGAGGUCCAAAUGAGAGUUCUUGCUGAAAUCCUCUCCCAGAAUGCACAUGUUGAGUACUUGCAACGCUAUAAUCUCAAUGGCCGCACUGAUAGAGAGACAUUCAAGAAAGUCGUACCUGUCAUCACUUAUGAAGAUAUUCAGCCUGAUAUCAAACGUAUAGCCUAUGGUGAUAAAUCUCCUAUUCUCUGCUCCCAACCCAUCUCUGAAUUAUUGUCAAGGUUCUCCUCCUUUCUUUUCUUUUUCCCGAAUAGAAAGUGAAAACUUAUCUGUAUCUAUCUCUCACAUUUUGGGUUGUACAUAUUGAGUAUGUGACUCAUCGAAAAACUUAAGCUGUUAGGAAAAACACACUUCUAUUUAGUAGUUAAUUAUGUCUUCAACAAUACAUGCAGUUCUGGCACGUCUGGAGGGGAGAGCAAAUUGAUACCAUCAACAGAGGCAGCGCUUGGGAGGAGAUUACAGCUUCUAAAACUUCUGAUGUCUGUGAUGAGCCAAGUGGCUCCAGAUUUUGGAAAGGGUAAAGGAAUGUAUUUCAUGUUCAUAAGUUCUGAACAGAAGACCCCAGGAGGAUUACUAGCACGCUUUUUUACAACUAGUUUUUACAAGAGUCCUUAUAUCAACUGCGGAUACCCCUGCAGGAAAUUCACUAGUCCAACGGCAACCAUUCUUUGCCAAGACUCUUACCAAAGUAUGUACUCGCAAAUGCUCUGUGGCCUCUGCCAAAACCAAGAAGUCCUCCGUGUUGGCUCGCUUUUUGCAACCGGCUUCAUUCGUGGCAUCCGUUUCUUGGAGAAGCAUUGGUCUCUACUUUGUAACGAUAUCCGAAACGGAACCAUUAACACCCAAAUUACAGAUCCUUCAGUGAGAGAAGCAGUGAUGGAAAUCCUCAAACCUGACCCAAAAUUAGCUGAUUUCAUUGAGGCUGAAUGCAGCAAAGACUCAUGGCAAGGAAUCAUCACUAGGUUGUGGCCUAAUACCAAGUAUGUGGAUGCUAUUUUGACUGGAUCCAUGUCACAAUAUAUACCGAUACUUGAUUAUUACAGCAAUAGCCUCCCUCUUAUCAGUACUUUGUAUGGUUCCUCAGAAUGCCACUUUGGAAUCAACUUGAACCCUUUUUGUAAGCCCAGUGAAGUCUCUUACACCCUUAUUCCCACCAUGUGCUAUUUUGAGUUCUUACCAUAUCACGGAAAUAGUGGAGUCAUUGAUUCUAUCUCCAUGCCUAAGUCGCUUAAUGAGAAAGAACAACAACAAUUGGUUGAUUUGGCUGAUGUCGAGAUUGGCCAGGAGUACGAGCUUGUUGUUACCACAUAUUCUGGUAUUUUCAAAUGCUAAAUAAAAAUCUCUUGGCACAUUUUUUCCCCAUUUAUAAGUUAAACAUGCCGUCUGCUGUUGCUUAGCUUUGCUUGAAUUUAUGCCAUUUCAGGACUCUACAGAUAUAGAGUCGGUGAUGUGCUUCGGGUUGCUGGAUACAAGAACAACGCGCCUCGAUUCAACUUCCUAUGCCGGGAAAAUGUAAUCUUGAGCAUUGGUGCUGACUUCACUAAUGAAGUUGAGCUACAAAACGCAGUGAAAAAUGCAGUGGGCAAUCUGAUGCCAUUUGAUUCUCAGGUAACCGAGUACACCGGCUAUGUCGAUAUUACCACCAUUCCAAGCCACUAUGUCAUAUUCUGGGAGCUGAAUGCGAAUGACUCUACCCCAGUUCCUCCUUCAGUCUUUGAAGAUUGCUGCCUCACAAUUGAAGAAUCUCUUAACUACUUCUACCGCGAGGGCCGUGCGUCUAAUGCAUCCAUCGGGCCUCUAGAAAUUAGGGUGGUGGAAAUUGGAACUUUUGACAAGCUCAUGGACUACUGCAGUAGCUUAGGUGCUUCCAUGAACCAAUACAAGACACCCCGUUGUGUCAAAUAUGCACCCCUUAUUGAGCUAUUGAACUCUAGGGUCGUCUCCAGAUACUUCAGUCCCAUGUGUCCAAAAUGGGUUCCUGGCUACAAGAAAUGGAACAACACCAGUUAAAUGUCAAGCUUCCAAUUUCUCUACUUGUAGCUUCAUUCUCUAUCCCGAAAAAAGACAACCAUUUGUGGAUUAUUUAGUCAAUCGUCAUCCUAGCUAAGUUGGUCUUUCGUGAACAUGGUAUGGAUUUGUAUUUGUCACAAAUAAAAUGUGGCACUUUUUAUUUCUGUAAUGGUUUUAUUGUGUCGAGUAGUUUAGUGCAAAGACGAGGAGAAGAAGUAAAAAGAGAGGUUUGGUAGACACUUUUAGUGCCCAUAUUAUGUUGGUGGUUUCACUUGUCUUUUCUAUUGCAUUUCUGAAGUCUGCUAUAUGAAUAAACAUCCCGGCAUCUAAAAAUUUAAAAUGGAACAAGGGAGACAGCUAAUCAACGUACUGCUUUUUGAUGAUUUCUCACUUGAACUUGAUAUGCCAAGACUGAAUUAUUGGCAUGGAUAGUGAAACUAUCCUUGAAUUUUACAGUCUUCAUAUCCUCUGAAAUGUGAUUGUCGAUUGCUUCCAAUUUGUUAAGUCAUUCUUUAGGCAGGUUUUGAACUUCCGACACCAGGUUCUUCAGGCUGUAGAUUAAAAUUAAAACAACAACAAGAACAACCCAGAAGAAUCCCACUAAUGGGGUCUGGGGAGGGUAGUGUGUACGCAGAUCUUACCCCUACUCCAAAUGAGUAGAGAGGCUGUUUCCGAAAGACCCUCGGCUCAAGAAAACAAAAGACAAAACGACAAGAGGAGAAAACAUUAGUAUUACCACAACAAUCAUAGAAAAAAUAGGAACACCAUGAAAUGCAGAAGAAAGAUGCAAAGCAAAAAUGAUAGCUAGUAAAUAGGACAUGUACUGAAAAGCGAAGUAGUAAAACACAACAUUGUCACUAGCUACCCUAGACAAAAAUCCUACGUGGCCAGUCCCACAAUGGUACGAAGUAAGUCAAGACUCAACUACAUCCUAACCUACAGCUCUAAUACUCGACCUCCACAUCUUCCUAUCAAGUGUCAUAUCCUCGGAAAUCUGGAACCUCGCCAUAUCAUGUCUGAUCACCUCUCCCCAAUAAUUCUUAGGCCGCCCUCUACCUCUUCUCGUGCCCUCCACAACCAGCCGCUCACACCUCCGUACCGGAGCAUCUGGGCUUCUCCUUUGAACAUGUCCGAACCAUCUAAGCCUCGCUUCCCACAUCUUGUCAUCAAUGGGAGCCACGGUGCACCUNNNNNNNNNNNNNNNNNNNNNNNNNNNNNNNNNNNNNNNNNNNNNNNNNNNNNNNNNNNNNNNNNNNNNNNNNNNNNNNNNNNNNNNNNNNNNNNNNNNNNNNNNNNNNNNNNNNNNNNNNNNNNNNNNNNNNNNNNNNNNNNNNNNNNNNNNNNNNNNNNNNNNNNNNNNNNNNNNNNNNNNNNNNNNNNNNNNNNNNNNNNNNNNNNNNNNNNNNNNNNNNNNNNNNNNNNNNNNNNNNNNNNNNNNNNNNNNNNNNNNNNNNNNNNNNNNNNNNNNNNNNNNNNNNNNNNNNNNNNNNNNNNNNNNNNNNNNNNNNNNNNNNNNNNNNNNNNNNNNNNNNNNNNNNNNNNNNNNNNNNNNNNNNNNNNNNNNNNNNNNNNNNNNNNNNNNNNNNNNNNNNNNNNNNNNNNNNNNNNNNNNNNNNNNNNNNNNNNNNNNNNNNNNNNNNNNNNNNNNNNNNNNNNNNNNNNNNNNNNNNNNNNNNNNNNNNNNNNNNNNNNNNNNNNNNNNNNNNNNNNNNNNNNNNNNNNNNNNNNNNNNNNNNNNNNNNNNNNNNNNNNNNNNNNNNNNNNNNNNNNNNNNNNNNNNNNNNNNNNNNNNNNNNNNNNNNNNNNNNNNNNNNNNNNNNNNNNNNNNNNNNUCGUCGAUCUCCCCUCCCCCCUGGAUAACCGAACCAAGGUACUUGAAGCUGCCUCUACUCGGGAUGACCUGUGAUUCAAGCCUCACAUCCACGCCUACUUCCCCUGGCUUAUGCUAAAUUUACACUCCAGGUAUUUCGUCUUCGUCCUGCUCAACUUGAAACCCUUAGACUAAAGAGCCUAUCUCCAAACCUCUAGCCUCUUGUUAAUACUGGCUCGCGAUUCAUCAAUCAGAACUAUGUCAUCGGCAAAUAGCAUGCACCAUGGCACCUCCCCUUGAAUAUGGUGUGUUAAUGCGUCGAUCACUAGGGCGAAUAAGAACGGACUGAGCGCAGAACCUUAGUGUAACCCCAUUACAACCGGAAACUGCUCAGAGUCGCCUCCUACUGUCCUAACCCGAGUCUUAGCCCCAUCAUACAUGUCCUUAAUCGCCAUAAUGUAGGGAACCGAUACACCUUUUGCCUCUAGGCAUCUCCAGAGAACUUCUAUAGGAAUCUUGUCAUACGCUUUAUCUAGGUCAAUAAAGACCAUGUGCAGAUCCUUCUUCCUCUCUUUGUACAGUUCCACCAACCUCCUAACAAGGUGUAUAACUUCUGUAGUCGAACGACCCGGCAUGAACCCGAAUUGGUUGUCGGAUACAGACACUGUCAUCCUUACCCUCACUUCAACCACCCUCUCCCACACUUUCAUGAUAUGACUCAGUAAUUUUAUACCCCUAUAAUUGUUACAACUCUGGAUAUCACCUUUGUUCUUAUACAAUGGGACCACCGUACUCUACCUCCACUUAUCCGGCAUCCUCUUCGCCUUAAAAAUAACAUUAAACAACCUAGUCAACCACUCCAAACCUGCUCUCCCCACACACAUCCAAAAUUCUACCGGAAUCUCGUCUGGCCCGGUCGCUCUGCCUCUACUCAUCUUACGCAUAGCUCCCACGAUCUCAUCAACCUCGAUACGCCUGCAGUACCCAAAGUCACAGUGACUCUCGGAAUGUUCCAAUUCGCCUAGCACAAUAUCCUGAUCCCUUUCUUCAUUCCGAAGUUUAUGAAAGUAAGUCUGCCAUCUCCUCUUAAUCUGGGCAUCUUACAUUAAUACUCUACCAUCUUCGUCCUUGAUGUAUCUCACUUGGUCCAAAUCCCGAGCCUUCCUCUCUCUCAACUUGGCCAGCUGGAAUAACUUCUUCUCCCAGCCUUUUUUCCUCAGUUCCUCGUACAUACAACCAUAUGCAGCAGUCUUAGCCUUUGUGACCGCCAGCUUAGCCUCCUUCCUAGCUGUUUUAUAACUCUCCAUGCAUGCUCGCCUCUCCUCCUCAUCUAUGCUCCUCACUAACUUCAGGUACGCCACCUUCUUAGCUUCCACUUUACCUUGAACCACUUCAUNNNNNNNNNNNNNNNNNNNNNNNNNACCCGUCCGCGUCCUUCGCCCUUAACCCUACCCACCUAGUCUCUUAGACACACCCUAUAUUGACCCUCCUCUUCUGGAGGAUCUUCGCCAACUCUAUAGACUUACCCGUCAAUGUACCUACGUUCCAUGACCCAAUUCUCAACCUACAGACACCCUUGUUCCCUUUACCUCCCUUGCCUCCCGCCCCACCCCUAACCCCUGCCUUACCUCCCGCCCCACCCCCCGUUCUCCCCGAGGACAUGACCUCACUCAACCAUUCUAGACCACAAUCACUAUACCUACGGCAGAGUAAGGGGAAUCACUAUCACGCACAAUAUAACAGACCAAACCAGAAGAAGACAAGUUGCAACUACAUGCACACUAAUACGGCGAAUAAACUAAUACGAACUAAGUUGACAACAAUUUAACUAACACAACAAAGAAAAAUUGGAAAACGGGAGGUACCAACUCACACGAGUCCAAUAUUAACAAAUAGCAAAUUUUAAGCAAGAACAAUAGAACGUGAAGUCACAAUGAGUGCUGAGAAAGGUGUUGUCCACAACAGCUAUGUUUUGGAAGUUCCUGCCUGCUUCGCCCGAGGCUCGCUGGAAAAUAGUCUCCGCCGCUGCCGUCGCUAGGCUAGGUCAGUGCGCCAGAAAAUAGGGGGACGAGGUGGAAGAGACGAGGUAUAGGGGAGAGAAAGAAGGGAGAAGAAGAAAAGGGAAAGGGGAAUAUAAGGGGGGGGGGGGGGGUCAGAUGUGGGGAGCAAAAAAGGGGGACAAGAAAACAAGAAAGAAAGGGAGGGGAGAAAGGGAAGUAACAGGAAGAAGGAGGAAGACGGAGAGAGAAAGAGAGGAAAAGAAGACAAGGGGUGGGGUGGGGGCCGGGGGUCUUGCCUGGUCCGCCGGAGGUCCGGUGAUUUAGAGAGAAAGAGAUGUGUGAAUAUCCAAAAGCGAGUAGCGACAGUGCUGGCUAAUUAUGGUGGAAAGAGACAAGGCAGUGUAGACGAUAAUAAAGAUUAAAGAUUCAAAAUAGUAUGUCUGGCUAUAGGUUCAAGCACUCAGUUACCUAAAACCACUGAAAGAAGAAGACACAACAAAGUUUCUACUUCAAUGUACAACCUGAAAAGGACAUAUUGGAGUUCCAUUUGUUCAAGGCCAAAAAAAGUCUAUACAACAACUUCAUCUUUCACUAAUUGCAAAACCAAUGAUAGUAUAUUUUUUUUUUGCUUCAAGAACUUGACAUGUUGAAAAUAUUAUAUGCACUUGUAAUGAUCAUAAGCUCUGCAUAUGAUAAUUCCAAAAAGCAAACCUGCUCAUUCUUCAAAGCCCUUAGCAAACUUUCCAGGUGAUCAAUCUUUUUGUUUAAUGUAGCAAAGCACAUGCCAGACCAUUUCUCAUCGAUACAGGCCAAUUGGCUCAGGAGCAUCAGUAUAUCAUCUUCAAGCUCAGAAAUUUCUGAAUCAACUUUGGUGAUCAGUUUCUUCAGAACUUGCAGACAAGAUAUCUCAUUUAAAGCAUCUUGCUCGAUCACGUCUGUGACACAAAAUCAAUUAAAAUAGAUGAGAUAUGUCAAACAAAAAGAAUAAUAAAAGAGCUACUAUAUAUGUGAACUUACCAAGUCGUGGAUCGAAAUACAAGUUAUACUGUCAACUGUUUGCUGUAUAAUUGCUUUCAUCUGUGACUAAAUAAGUCAGGACAGUCAGCACUUUUUUCUACCAAAACAAUCAUGAAGAAGCCCAAUUAGAGUGUGAGAUUAUGAAACCUUGAUUUUCAGGUGGACCUCAAAUAGAUGAAGCCAUCUCCUUAAUAUAGUUAAGCCUGAUGUAUCGAAAAAAAGUACAAAUAAAACAGUGUGCAUCCCAAAAAUUUGUACAUAUCGUAUGCCAGCAAAAUCACCAUGCUUCAAAAGUUGAAUCCCCAAAUUCAACAUACAAAAUUGCAAAUCCACAUUGAAAAAAUCAAUGACUUCCUAUUGAUCGGUAAAAAUAAAUAAGGUACUACAGGUGCUUUAAUGUUAGAAAGUCUGGAUUUUGAAGAUUCCCUCACUGAGUACCAUAUUACCAGCUUGUUUAUCCCAUGAAGUCAUACAAUUAAAUUCAUAAAUCUAUCAAAGCAGAAUAUUUCCAAUAUUUAGCUUAUAUGCACUUAAUUCAGUUGACUUGCAACUUACUCUAAAUUUAUUCCACUGAACUUCUCAGCUGACUUCAAUGUAUUAUAGAGACAAUGACAUCUCCACUUAAUUCAACUCUUGAAUUGUGACUUCUGUACUUGCUUGUUAUCAAUUGAAUUAUGAGAUCCCUAAAUUAAUUAUGGCGUUGUAUCAAAUUUCACUCUCCAAAACCUCAUUUAGAAACUAGAAACAGAUUCUCUUUUUCUGGUAUAAAUUACCUACUACUAUCAGGGGAACUAUAUCGGGAGUUAGAGUUCUAGCCACAGGAUUAAUGAUACAAAACUACAACCCAGGAUCUCAACUGAAAUAUGAGAUCAGAAUCAACAGUACUCUUACACAUGAUUAUGGCUACACGUAAACAUGCAAACAUUUGAAUAGAUAUAUAUUAAUCAAUAAAUUCUUAUGCUUUUCAAGGAUGGAAAGCAUUAGUCGAUGAAAAUUCAAACGCAAAAAUAUCAUCUCUUUGUCUUGUUCUAUAGAACAAGUUAGAAGGUUGUUAAGAAUACAAUGAAAAGAUUAACACUUGAGUAGUUAAUGCACAACAAGGUAAGAGAAAAAGAAAUUAGAAACUUUAGCUUCCAAAGAAAGAUAAAUUGAAAUUCCUCUGUUGAAAGGAAUCUAGGGAUUUUGUUCGUAGCAGGAGGGAAUGGUGACUGGCCGUAGCAAAAUAUUCCCAUUUUUUGCUUUAACAUUUAAAGUUUGAAAUUCUUAUUUAGUGGUGGAAAUUAGAAGUUAAUAAUUGAUUAUUGUUAAAAUUAUUUGAAUAUUGAUUAUUUGUGCUUAAAUUUUUAGUUCAAAUACUGAACGAGAAAUGGAUGGUUCUCAAACUGAUUCGGCGCCUAAAAAAAGAAAAAGGUCUCUGAAUCUGGUAUUAGUCAUAAGAAACAUGCCAAAUCCGUUUCAAAUAUAAUUUUUUUUAUGUAUUCUAAAUUUUAUGUAUGUUAGUUUUUACUUUGUAAGAGCUAGUUCCUCUAACAGACAUGCUUGCUUAGCUUAUUGGAAAACAGAAGAUAGUCAUAUACCGAUAAAUUUGUUCAUUUGGAUAUCAUGUGAUAUACUUAUGUAUGUUUCUUUUUAAAUGCAGCGUAAUAAAAAUGCUAAGUUGAAACUAGGUAUUUGUUUUCAAUUUUAACAUUGUUAGUGAGUCGAAAAGAAGAUUAUCAACAACACAAGUUGAGCUUUUUAAAUCAACUUAUUUUAGGUAUUUGCUGGAUUUGCCUGGAAUAGAUUACAAUCUCAACUGAUAUAUUCUUUGUUGAUAAUGGAAGUUCAAAAAGAAACUGAGGAUGAAAUGUAGUUUCUUGUCAAUGAAGUUAAGCUAUAUUUUAAUUUAUCUCAGUUUACUUGUGUGACUGGAUAAAAAUGUACUGGAGAUGUAAAGUGCCCUACUUGGUCUAAGGGAAAGAAUAAUCAUUUAAUUGAAAAAUAUUUUGUGGAUCACUCUUCUCUUGCUAAGAAAUGUCUUAAGCAUUAUUUUCUUAAUAAAACGCCUAAAUCUAAUGAAGAUGCUAUGAAGGUGGCAAUGCUCUAUGUUGGCCUAGUGAAGAUUGUUUUGAUGAUUAACAAAGGAACUCAAGUAUGAACCAGGUCCAUACAAAGUGUACACAAAUACGGGCAGAUUCGAGCACAAGGCAUGCACGUGAAGGAGAUAAGAUUAAGUGGUUAUAUCUGAUAUCUCCUGAACGAAAAGAUUGCAUAAGUGAUAAGGAGAAGAACUCCUUACUCAAAGAUAACUCUAUCCUAGAUAAGGGAUGUCACGACCCAAAAUCCUAACAUGUCGUGAUGACGCCUAUCUCAAUACUAGGCAAGCCGACAACCUAAAUAAACCACAAUUUCUUUUAAGUUUGAAAACAUAAUAUUUGAAUUUCAUCGAAAAUCUCACGAAUUACUGACAUAAAAAUACAUUCCCAAAAUCCGGUGUCACCGAGUACAUGAGCAUCUAAAUGAUAAUAAAGUGUGACUGAUAAAAAUAUUGUCUGAAAAUAUAGAACAGUACAAUAACUGAAAGGGAGAGAGUCAAGGUCAGCGGACGCCAAACUGCUACCUUGGUAGUCUAAAACUGAUAACACUCUAAGAUCUAACAAUCGCCGUAUCUGAAAGCACCUGGAUCUGCACACGAGAUGCAGGGUGUAGUAUGAGUACAACCAACUCAGCAAGUAACAAUACUAAAUAAAGAACUGAAAGUAGUGACGAGCUUCAUAGCUAAGUCCAAUUAAAAUAAUUUCCAACGUAAGAAAGUAGACAUGCUUGCAAGUUUAACAAUUAAGGCCCAAACAAUAAUUUCAUAUUAAGUUCGACUGAAACAUGAGAUAAUAUCUCUCAGAAAUUUCCAAAACAGUGAUAAAUGAUAACUGAAGUACAACUAUAAUGAAAUCAAUGCAUCCUCUUAGAACAACAUUCACUCAGUCCUUCCACUCGCUCAACACUCGGCACUCGCACUCAGUAGGUAUUUGCGCUCACUGGGGGUGUGUACAGAUUCCGGAGGGUCUCCUUCAGCCCAAGCGCUAUAAUCCGCACGGACAAAUCUCUCCAGUUUCUCGGGCUCUCAGUAAUCAUAAAAAUCACCAACAGAAAUGAUAUAAUGUAUCCACAAGGAACAAUAGAGACUGAGAUAAAAUAAAUAAGUAAACCGUGACCGAGUACAAAAUAACAAUUUAGCAGAUAAUUAAAAAUGUACACGACCUUUGUGGGUCCCUACAGUGCCAACACAUAACCUGAACAUGAUUUGUGGUUCAAUUUAUCUACUACAUGGAGAAUGUAUAGAUAACAACAGAUUAUUCAACUACACGGUUCUAUGGAAUUUGAUCGAGUCACAAUUUCUAUGGUGCACACCCAUACGCCCGUUACCUAGCAUGUGCGUCACCUCAAAACCGAUCACAUAACACAUAAUCCGGAGUUUCAUACCCUCAUAACCAAAUUUAGAAUUGUUACUUAGCUCAAACCGUGAAAUUCUUUAUUCUGUUAUGCCCUUGCCUCGCGAAUCGGCCUCCAAACGCCUCGAAUCUAGUCAUAAAUAAUUUGAUUCAGUCAAUACAAAUUAUAGGAACUUAGUCGAAACCUCAAAUCAUAUCAAACAACGCCAAAACCAUGAAUCAUACCCCAAUUCAAGCCUAAUGAAACUAAGAAUUUUCAACUUCUACAUCCAAUGCCGAAAUCUAUCAAAUCAAGUCCGGUUGACUUCCAAUUUUGCACACAAGUCAUAAAUGACAUAACAGACCUAUUUCAAUUUCCAGAAUCGGAUUCUGACCUCGAUAUCAAAAAGUCAACUCUCUGGUCAAACUUCCAAACUUAAAUUUUUAUUUUAGCCAUUUCAAGCCUAAUUUAACUACGGACUUUCAAUAAUUUUUCGGAUACGCUCCGAAAUCCAAAAUCACCAUACGGGACUAAUGGAAUUAUCAAAACUCUAUUCCGGGAUCGUUUACACAUAGUCAACAUCCGGUCAACUAUUUCAACUUAAGCUUUAAACCUUGGAACUAAGUAUUCCAAUUCAUUCCAAAACCUUACCGGACCUGCACCAAUUACCCCGGCAAGUCACAUAAUAACAGUAAGGCACAAAUUGAGCAGUAAAUGGGGGAACGAGGUUGUAAUACUCAAAACGACCGGCCGGAUCGUUACAUUCUCCCCCUCUUAAAUAAACGUUUGUCCUCGAACGGGUUUAGAAUCAUAUCUGGAGCCUCAACUAUAUGUGGAUAUUUGCUCCGCAUCUCCCGCUCAAUUUCCCAGGUAGCUUCUCUGACUGGCUGUUCUCUCCACUACACUUUCACUGAAGCUAUGUUCUUUGAUCUCAACUUUCGAAUUUGCCGGUCUAAAAUGGCCACCGGCUCCACAUCAUAAGUCAGAUUACCGUUCAACUGCACUGUGCUUAAAUACAAACAUGAGACGGAUCUCCGACAUACUUCCGGAGCAUAGAUACAUGAAACACUGGAUGAAUACCCGAUAGACUAGGCGGCAAUGCCAGUUCAUAAGCCACAUCUCCAUUCUUCUUAAGUAUUUCAAAAGGCACAAUAUACCGAGGGCUCAACUUGCCCUUCUUCCCGAACCUCAACACACCCUUCGUGGGUGAAACCUUGAGCAGAACCUUAUCUCCAACCAUGUAAGCGAUAUCACGGACCCUCCUGUCGGCAUAACUCUUCUGUCUAGACUGCACCGUGCGAAUCUGCUCCUGAAUCAAUUUAACCUUCUCCAAAGCAUCCUGAAUCAAAUCGGUACCCAAUAGCCUAGCCUCACCCGGCUCAAACUAACCCACUGGAGACCGACACCGUCUCCCAUAUAAAGCCUCAUAUGGAGCCAUCUGAAUGCUCGAUUGGUAGCUGUUAUUGUAAGCAAACUUCGUGAGUGGCAGAAAUUGAUCCCAAGAACCCCCAAAAUCAAUUACACUUGCGCGUAGCAUAUCCUCCAAUAUCUGAAUAGUGCGCUCGGACUGUUCGUCCGUCUGGGGCUGAAAUGUUGUACUCAAUUGAACCUGUGUACCUAAUUCUCGUUGCACUUCUCUCCAAACUAUGAUGUAAACUGCGUGCCCCGAUCCGAAAUGAUGGACACUAGCACCCCGUGUAGGCGAACAAUCUCGCGGAUGUAAAUCUCAGCCAACCGCUCCGAAGAAUAAGUAGUACCAACUGGAAUGAAAUGGGCGGACUUGGUCAACCGAUCUACAAUCACCCAAACAACAUCAAACUUCCUCAAAGUCCGUGGGAGUCCAACUACGAAGUCCAUGAUGAUACGCUCCCACUUCAACUCCGGAAUUUCAAGUCUCUGAAGCAAUCCGCCCGGUCUCUGAUGCUCGUACUUCACCUGUUGACAAUUUAAACAUCAAGCUACAAACCCAACUAUAUCUUUAUUCAUUAGCCUCCACCAAUAGUGGUUCCUCAAAUCCUGAUACAUCUUCGCGACACCUAGAUGGAGUACCGCGAACUGUGAGCCUCCUGGAGAAUCAACUCAGGCAAACCAUCUACAUUUGGCAGACAUAGCCUGCCCUGCAUCUGUAAUACACCGUCAUCCCCAAUAGUGACUUCCUUGGCAUCACCGUGUUGAACCGUGUCCUUAAGGACAAGCAGAUACUGACGUUCUCUGAUACGAUCAUAAAGAGAAGACUGAGAAACCACACAAGCCAAAACUUGGCUCGGCUCAAAAAUAUCCAAUCUGACAAACUGAUUGGCCAAGGCCUGAACAUCUAAGUCUAAAGGCCUCUCUGCUACCGGUAAGUAUGCUAAGCUGCCCAAACUCUCCGCCUUACGACUCAAGGCAUCGGCCACCACAUUGGCCUUUCCGGGAUGAUAAAGAAUGGUGAUAUCAUAAUCCUUAAGCAACUCCAACCACCUCCGCUGCCACAAAUUAAGAUCCUUCUAUUUAAACAGAUACUGUAGACUUCGUGAUCGAUAUAAACCUCACAAUGGACACUGUACAAAUAAUGUCGCCAAAUCUUCAAGGCAUGAACAAUAGUUGCUAACUCAAGGUCUUGGACCGGAUAAUUUUUCUCAUGUACCUUUAAAUGUUUGGAUGCAUAGGCAAUCACCCUACCAUCUUGCAUCAGCACUCCACCGAGACCAAUACGCGAUGCAUCACAAUACAAAGUAUAAGACCCUGAACUUGUAGGCAAUACCAAUAUUGGGGCUGUAGUCAAAGCUGUCUUGACCUUCUGAAAGCUCUCUUCACACUCAUUCGACCACCUGAACGGGGCACCUUUCUGGGUCAAUUUAGUCAAAGGCGAUACAAUAGACGAGAAACCCUCCACAAAGCGACGAUAAUAACCGGCCAAGCCGAGAAACUUCGAAUCUUAGUUGAAGAUGGCCUGAGCCAACUCUGAACUGUCUCUAUCUUCUUCGGAUCUACCUUAAUUCCUUCACUGGACACUAUGUGUCCCAAGAAUGCCACUGAACUAAGCCAGAACUCACACUUAGAGAAUUUGGCAUAAAGUCUCUCCUCUCUCAGCCUCUGUAAUACAAUACCCAAGUGUUGUGCAUGCUCCUUCUGGCUAUGUGAGUACACCAGGAUAUCAUCAAUAAAUACUACGACAAAUGAAUCAAGAUAUGGUUGGAAUACAUUAUUCAUCAAGUGCAUAAAUACUGUUGGGGCGUUGGUCAACCCAAAAGCUCUCAAAGGUAAGUUAAAAGAAUGGAGCAGAAGUUGUAAGGAAAAUCUGGGAAUGCAAAAAUCAAAACUGCUGAGUCAAUUGACAGGUUUUGAUGCAACACAACAAUCAAGAGCUCUGACAGAGGAGGAAUCAGUGAGGAAGGUAGCUAUCCUCAUGGAAUUUGAGGAUCACCUCAAGAAUGAAGAAAGUGCAUGGAGACAGAAAUCAAGGGCCCUGUGGCUCAAAGAAGGGGAUAGAAAUACAAAGUUUUUCCAUCGCACUGCCAAUGCACACAAGAGAUGCAACAAUAUUGACCAACUAGUGAUUCAAGAUGAAACAGUGGAGGAGCCAAACAGAAUAAAGAAUGAGAUCAUUGAAUUCUACAAGAAGUUAUACACAGAACCUGGAGAGUGGAGACUUGCAGCCAAUUUCGACAAUUGUCCCAUAAUUUCAGAAUUAGAGAAGGAGUCUCUACAAAGCAAAUUUGAAGAGCAAGAGGUCCUGAGCUGCCUGAAGAUGUGUGCAAGUGAUAAGGCCCCAGGUCCUGAUGGAUACACAAUGGGCUUUUUCAUUAAGUACUAGGAUAUUUUGAAGUAGGACAUCAUGGAGGCUUUCAAAAACUUUCAUUCCCAGGAGAUGUUUGAGAAAAGCUUCAAUGCAACAUACAUAGCUCUGAUUCCAAAGAAGACGGGGGCCAAAGAAUUGAGAGAUUUCAGGCCAAUCAGUCUGAUAGGGAGUUCAGCCACCAAUUUUCAAACUUACAGUAUGAUUUAUCUUGCUCCCAAGCACCACAACGUAGGGCCACAGGGGUAUGGUCAGAAAUCAACCUUUGUUGGAUAGUUUGCUUGAUAUUUCUGAAGCUAUCAUCUCAUUCUUCUGAAAUUAGAAAUCUGUCAAUUCUAGAAGCAGUGGUAUGAUUAUCCCCUUUGAACCAAGUGUAGGAGCCUCCCUCGAGUUGAAGAUCUAUCAACUCCAUGCCUUCUAUAAAAUUUGAGAAUUCCACCAUCUCACUGGACCUCCUCGAGCAGUCCCGUUUUUCAGAGGGGUACCUUGUGACAUUAAAGUCACCACAAACUGCACAAGGGCUUUCCAUCAGGCCCCUCACUGCACCAAUUUCCCUCCAUACUGUUCUUCUUUCUAUUCUGCAAUUAGGAGCAUAUACCCCGGUUAUAUGAUAUUGGAAGUUCUGUAAAAGAGCCUCGAACUUGCAUGUCAAAGUAUAUGCACCAAUCUGUAACAUCUCCCCUUUCCAUACUCUGCAGUCCCAUAGUAACAAAAUUCCCCCUCUCGUGCCACUAGCUUCUAAACAUGCAUACCUCACCCAUCUCCCAAACUAACAUACAUAAAAUUUAGAAUACAUACAAAAAAUUACAUUUGAAGCGGAUUUGGCAUGUUUCUUAUAACUAAUACCAGAUUCAAAGACCUUUUUCUUUUUUUUAGGUGCCGAAUUAGUUUGAGAACCAUUCACUUCUCGUUCAGUAUUUGAACUAAAAAUUUAAGCAUAAAUAAUCAAUAUUCAAAUAAUUUUAACAACGGAAAAGGUCUAAAAAUGUCACUCAACUCCCAGAAAUGGUUUAUCUAUGUCAUCCGUUAAAUAGUUGGUUCAUUCAUGCCACUAAGUUAUAUUUUUGGCUCAUUCAUGCCACUCAACUAACAGAAAUGGCAUAUCUAUGUCAUCCGUUUAAAGGUUGGUCCAUUCAUGCCACUGAAGUUAUACUUUUGGCUCAUUCAUGCCACUCAUCUAACAGAAAUGGCCUAUCUAUGCCAUCCAUUUAAAGGUUGGUCCAUUCAUGCCACUGACGUUAUAUUUUUGGCCUAUUUAUGCGAGUGUCUACUAACAGUUCCAUUUUAUGGUUUUUUCGUAAUAAGAAUUAAUUUUUUGACCCUGGCUUUCUCACGUGUCUUUAUAUUACUGGUUCUUCUUUACUUGACCCUAUAUUUCUUUUAACCCUGAUUAUGUAUAAUUAACCAUACUCAACCCGAUAAAAUUCAACUAGUCGUGAUGGCACAUAACCCAACCUGCUAGGUAAAUCAAUUAACAACUAUCCAAUUUAAUGAGAUUUUUUUAAAGAUAGAUAAAUGAUAAAAUAACUGAACCUUAAUAAAUUUACCACGGAGAUUUUUAAGUCUUUACAUGUAUACGUGUAGCCAUAAUCAUGUGUAAGAGUACUGUUGAUUCUGAUUUCAUAUUUCAGUUGAGAUCCUGGGUUGUAGUUUUGUAUCAUUAAUCUUGUGGCUAGAACUCUAACUCCCGAUGUAGUUCCCCUGAUAGUAGUAGGUAAUUUACACCAGAAAAAGAGAAUCUGUUUAUAGUUUCUAAAUGAGGUUUUGGAGAGUGAAAUUUGAUACAACGCCAUAAUUAAUUUAGGGAUCUCAUAAUUCAAUUGAUAAUAAGCAAGUACAGAAGUCGCAAUUCAAGAGUAGAAUUCAAGUGUAUUUCGAUCCACGACUUGGUAAGUUCACAUAUAUAGUAGCUCUUUUAUUAUUCUUUUUGUUUGACAUAUCUCAUCUAUUUUGAUUGAUUUUGUGUCACAGACGUGAUCGAGCAAGAUGCUUUAAAUCAGAUAUCUUGUCUGCAAGUUCUGAAGAAACUGAUCACCAAAGUUGAUUCAGAAAUUUCUGAGCUUGAAGAUGAUAUACUGAUGCUCCUGAGCCAAUUGGCCUGUAUCGAUGAGAAACGGUCUGGUAUGUGCUUUGCUGCAUUAAAUAAAAAGAUUGAUUGAUCACCUGGAAAGUUUGCUAAGGGCCUUGAAGAAUGAGAAUGAGCAGGUUUGCCUUUUGGAAUUAUCACAUGCAGAGCUUAUGAUCAUUACAAGUGCAUAUAAUGUUUUCAACAUGUCAAGUUCUUGAAGCAAAAAAAAAUAUACUAUCAUUGGUUUUGCAAUUAGUGAAAGAUGAAGUUGUUGUACAUAUUGAAUUAUCUAAUUAAUUGUUAUUGUGUACUCCGUCACGGUUUACUUAUUUAUUUUAUCUCAAUCUCUAUUGUUCCUUGUUGAUACAUUAUAUCAUUUCUGUUUGGGCUGAUUUUCAUGAUUACUGAGAGCCCGAGAGACUGAAGAGAUUUAUGACUGAUUGAGGCCGAGUGCCUGAUUGUGAGAUAUUAUACUAUAGCACGUGAGUUGUCCGUGCAACACGUGAGUUGUCCGUGCGAAUCCAGAUAUUAUAAUAUAGUACGUGAGUUGUCCGUGCAAAUCCAGAUAUUAUACUACAGCACGUGAGUUGUUCGUGCGGAUUAUAGCGCUUGGGCUGAAGGAGCCCCUCUGGAGUCUGUAUACACCCCCAGUGAGCGCAGAUACCUACUGAGUGCGAGUGCCGAGUGGUGAGCGAGUGGAAGGACUGAGUGACUGUUAUUCUGAGAGGAUGCAUUGAUUUCAUUAUUGUUGUACUUCAGUUAUCAUAUAUCACUAUUUUGGAAAUUUCUGAGAGAUAUUAUUUCCUGUUUCAGUCGAACUUGAUAUGAAAUUACUGUUUGGACUUUAAUUGUUGAACUUGCAAGCAUGUCUACUUUCUUACGUUGGAAAUUACUGUAAUUGGACUUAGUUGUGAAGCUCAUCACUAAUUUCAGUUCUUUAUUUAGUAUUGUUACUUUAUGAGUUGGUUGUACUCAUACUACAUUCUGCACCUCGUGUGAAGAUCUAGGAGCUUCCGGAUAUGGCGAUUGUUAGAUCUCAGAGUGUUAUCAGUUGGAAACUACCAAGGUAGCUGUUUGGCAUCCGUUGACCUUGACUCUCUCCCUUUCAGUUAUUAUACUGUUCUAUAUUUUCAGACAGUGUUUUAUCAGUCAGAUUUUGUUAUCAUUUAGAUGCUCAUGUACUCGGUGACGCUGAGUUUUGGGAAUGUAUUUUUAUGUCAGUAAUUCGUGAGAUUUUCUAUGAAAUUCAAAUAUUAUGUUUUCAAACUUAAAAGAAAUUGUGGUUUAUUUAGGUUGUCGGCUUGCCUAGUAUUGAGAUAGGCGCCAUCACAACAGGUUAGGAUUUUGGGUCGUGACAAGUUGAUAUCAGAACCUAGGUUACAUAGGUGUCACGAGUUAUGAGUAGGUUUUAUAGAGUCUUGCGGAUUGGUACGGAGACGUCUGUACUUAUCUUCAAAAGGUUGUUGAACCCUUAGGAAAAUUUCACUUUCUUGUAUUCUGUCGUGCGAAUUUGUUGAUUCCGGAAACUAAAUUUCUGUUAUUCUAUUCUCUCACAGAUGGUAAGGACACGUACUACCGGAUAGGACGGUCAGCCACCAGUGCCACCAGUUAGGGUCGCCAGAGGUCGGGGCCGUGGUAGAGGCCAGGGCCAAGGUAGAGGUCGAGGUGUAGCUCGUACAGCAGUUGGAGCAGCACCUGUAACACCACCAGUUGCUCCAGCUCAGGAGCAGAGUCCAGAUAUAGUUCAGUCGGCGGGACCAGCUCAGGCACCAGCUGUGCCCAUUAUGGUUCCAGGCCUUCAGGAGCCUCUAGCACAUAUAUUGAUAGUUUGCACUGGCCUUGCUCAGGUGGUUUCGGCUCAGGCCGCACCAGCCACUUCUCAGGCCGGAGGAGAUACUCAUACCCCUAUUGCCCGUACUCCAGAGCAGGUAGUGCAUGGACUUCAGAUACAGUAGGCACAACCAGCCUAGCUGGUUGCAGCUGCUCAGGCCCUGGUAAUCCCCGUUAUGGCAGAUGAUGAGCAGAGGAGACUUGGGAGAUUUGGGAGGCUUCGACCUCUAUCAUUUAGCGGUGCUGAGUCAGAGGAUGCUCAGGGUUUUCUAGAUAAGUGCCAGUGGAUGCUUCGGACAGUAGAUAUUCUGGAGACCAGUGGGGUCUCGUUCACUACUUUUCAGUUUUUUGGGGCUGCCUUCAGAUGGUGGGAGGCUUAUGAGAGGUGCAAGCCGGUCAGUGCAGUACCACUUACAUGGCAGGAGUUCUCUAUUCCCUUUUCAGAGAAGUUCGUGCCGCAGCCUCGUAGGGAGGAGCUACGCAGACAGUUUGAGCAGCUUCGGCAGGAUGGCAUGUCUGUGACCCAGUACGAGAUGAGGUUUUCUAAGUUGGAUCAUCACGCAUUUUGGUUGGUUCCCAUUGAUAGGGAGAGGAUUAUAAGGUUUAUUGAUGGCCUCACGUAUCAGCUGCGAUUGCUUAUGACUAGGGAGAGGGUAUGUGGUGCCACUUUUGACGAGGUGGUUGACAUUGCUCGACAGAUGGAGGUGAUCCAUAGCCAUGAGUGUGGUGAGAGAGAGGCCAAGAGGCCUCGAGGUUCGGGCCGUUUUGGUGGGGUACUUUCUAGGGGCAGUCCUAUCACAACAGGGGUCGCCCUUAUAGGCCCGCUCAGAUGACUCGUCGAGCUCAUCGUGGUGCAUUAUCUAGCCACGGUUCUUACAGUGCUCACUCAUGCCAGUCUUCAUUCAGUGCACUACCAGUGCAGAGUUCUCAUCAUGCCUCGUCCGCUCAGGCUUCUACAGGUAAUUCCUCGGAUUAUUAGGAGCAGCAGUUCCGUCAGAGGAGGGGUUGUUUCGAGUGCAGGGAAUUUGGUCAUUUCAAGAGAGAUUGUCCUAGGCUGUUGAGUGGGGCUCCACAGUAGAGUUCUCGGCCAACGGCACCAACACUAGCAGUUACACCACCCGCCUAGCCAGCUCGGGUGGGGCUCAGCCAGUUAGGGGUCGCCCAAGAAGGGGAGGCCGAUCAAGUGUCUGUCAGGCCCGAUUCUAUGCUUUUCCUGCCAGGCCACAUGUCGUUGCUUUAGAUGUGGUGAUCACAUGUAUUGUCUCAGUGUGCCACAGGGAAGCUUCUAUAUUAUUUGACCGUGGUUCUACUUAUUCGUAUGUAUCAUCGUACUUUACUCAUUAUCUAGAUAUGCCUCGUGAGUCCUUAGUUUCACUUGUUCGUAUAUCUACACCGGUGGGUGAUACUAUUAUUGUGGACCGUGUGUAUCGGUCAUGUGUGGUAACUAUUGGGGGACUGGAGACUAUAGUUGAUCUCUUAUUACUUAGUAUGAUAGAUUUCGAUGUAAUCUUGGGUAUGGAUUGGUUGUCUCCAUGUCAUGCUAUUCUGGACUAUCACGCAAAAACCGUACCGGUAGUGUGAGACUUUCCGGAGGUAUUUCCUGUAGACCUGCCGAGUAUGCCACCCAACAGGGAUAUUGAUUUCGGUAUUGACUUGGUGCUGGACACUCAGCCCAUUUCUAUUCCUCUAUACCGUAUGGCACCAGCUGAGUUGAAAGAAUUAAAAGAGCAACUGCAGGAACUUCUUGAUAAGAGGUUUAUUAGGCCUAGUAUGUCGCCUUGGGGUGCACCGGUUCUAUUUGUGAAAAAUAAAGAUGGUACUAUACGGAUGUGCAUCGACUACAGGCAGUUGAACAAAGUUACAAUCAAGAACAAAUAUCCUUUGCCGCGUAUUGAUGAUUCAUUUUACCAGCUUCAGUGGGCGAGGGUAUUCUCCAAAAUUGAUUUGAGAUCUGGGUAUCACCAGUUACAAAUUCGGGAUUCGGAUAUUUUAAAGAUGACAUUCAUAACUCUUAUUGGAAAACAGAAGAUAGUCAUAUACAGGUAAAAUUGUUCUUUUGGAUAUCAUGUGAUAUACUUAUGUAUGUUUCUUUUUAAAUGCAGCGUAAUACAAAUGGUAAGAUGAAACUUGGUAUUUGUUUUCAAUUUUAACAUUGUUAGUGAAUCGAAAAGAAGAUUAUCAACAACACAAGUUGAGCUUUUUAAAUCAACUUAUUUUGGGUAUUUGCUGGAUUUGCCUAGAAUAGAUUACAAUCUCAACUGAUAUAUUCUUUGUUGAUAAUGGAAGUUCAAAAAGAAAAUGAGGAUGAAAUGUAGUUUCUUGUCAAUGAAGUUAAGCUAUAUUUUAAUUUAUCUCAAUUUGCUUGUGUGACUGGAUAAAAAUGUACUAGGGAUGUAAAGUGCCCUACUUGGUCCAAGGGAAAGAAUAAUUAUUUAACUGAAAAAUAUUUUGUGGAUCACUCUUCUCUUGCUAAGAAAUGUCUUAAGCAUUAUUUUCUUAAUAAAAUGCCUAAACCUAAUGAAGAUGCUAUGAAGGUGGCAAUGCUCUAUGUUGGCCUAAGUGAAGAUUGUUUUGACGAUUGAUAAAGGAACUCAAGCAUGAACCAAGUCCAUACACAGUGUACACAAACACGGGUAGAUUCAAGCACAAGGCAUGCACGUGAAAGAGAUAAGAUUAAGUGGUUAUAUAUGAUAUCUCCUGAACGAAAGACUUCAUAAGUGAUAAGGAGAAUGACUCCUUACUCAAAGAUAACUCUAUCCUAGAUAAGGGAUGUCACGGUCCAAAAUCCUAACCUCUCAUGAUGACUCCUAUCUCAAUACUAGAUAAACCGACAACUUUAAUAAACUACAAUUUCUUUUAAGUUUGAAAACAUAAUAUUUGAAUUUCAUAGAAAUUCUCACGAAUUACUGACAUAAAAAUACAUUCCCAAAACUCGGCGUCACUAAGUAUAUGAGCAUCUAAAUGAUAACAAAGUGUGAUUGAUAAAAACACUAUCUAAAAAUAUAGAACAGUACAAUAAUUGAAAGGGAGAAAGUCAAGGUCAGCGGACGCUAAACAGCUACCUUUGUAGUCUCCAACUGAUAACACUCUGAGAUCUAACAGACGCCGUAUCGGGAAGCACCUGGAUCUGCACACGAGGUGCAGGGUGUAGUAUGAGUACAACCAACUCAGCAAGUAACAAUACUAAAUAAAGAACUAAAAGUAGUGACGAGUUUCAUAACUCAGUCCAAUUACAGUAAUUUCCAACGUAAGAAAGUAGACAUGCUUGCAAGUUCAACAAUUAAGGCCCAAACAGUAAUUUCAUAUCAAGUUCGACUGAAACAGGAGAUAAUAUCUCUCAAAAAUUCCCAAAACAGUGAUAUAUGACAACUGAAGUACAACAAUAAUAAAAUCAAAUGCAUCCUCUCAGAACAACAGUCACUCAGUCCUUCCACUCGCUCAACACUCGGCACUCGCACUCAAUAGCUACUUGUGCUCACUGAGGUGUGUACAGACUCCGGAGGGGCUCCUUCAGCCCAAGCGCUAUAAUCCGUACGGAUAACUCACGUGCUGCACGGACAACGCACAUGCUAUAGUAUAAUAUCUAGAUCCGCAUAGACAACUCACGUGUUGCACGGACAACUCGCGUGCUGCACGGACAACUCACGUGCUGCACGGACAACUCACGUGCUGCACGGACAACUCACGUGCUAUAGUAUAAUACCUCACAAUCAGGCCCUCGGCCUCACUCAGUUAUAAAUCUCUCCAGUCUCUCGGGGUCUCAGUAAUCAUGAAAAUCAACCCCAACAGAAAUGAUAUAAUGUAUCCACAAGGAACAAUAGAGAAUGAGAUAAAAUAAAUAAGUAAACCGUGACUGAGUACAAAACAAUAAUUUAUCAGAUAAUUCAAUAUGUACACUACCUCUGUUGGUCCCUACAAUGCCAACACAUAAUCUGAACAUGAUUUGUGAUUCGAUUUCUCUACAACAAGGAGAAUGUACAUAUAACAACAUAUUAUUCAACUACACGGUUCCAUGGCAUUUGACCAAAUCAUAAUUCCUACAAAGCACACCCAUACACCUGUCACAUGCAUGUGCGUCACCUCAAAACCUAUCACAUAACACAUAAUCCCGGGUUUCAUACCCUCAUAACCAAAUUUAGAACUAUUACUUACCUCAAACCGUGAAAUUCUUUAUUCUGCUAUGCCCUUGCCUCGCGAAUCGGCCUCCAAACGCCUCGAAUCUAGUCAAAAAUAAUUCGAUUCGGUCAAUACAAAUUAUAGGAAUUAAUUCCAUAUGAAAAUACUAAUUUUCCAGCAAAAUCCAAAAUUGCACUAAAAAUUUGUCUGUGGGACCCACGUCUCGAAACCCUGACAAAAGUUAUAAAAUAUGAACGCCCGUUCAACCACGAGUCCAACCAUAUAAAUUUUACCAAAUUACGACAUCAACUCGACCCUCAAAUAUUCAAAUUAAACCAAGAGGGUUUUCUAAAUUCUCCAACUUAAUUCACCAAUUAAAUGUUAAAAACAACCAUGGAUUCGGGUAUUUUGACCAAUAUUGAGUUAAGAACACUUAUCCCGUUGUUUUCCUUGAAUAGCUCCUGAAAAUCACCUCUUCAUGAGCUCCAAUUCGCCAAAUCUUGCUUGCCCCUCAGUUCUUCUUCGCGAACGCGAGAAUCCUCCCGCGAACGCGAUGAAAGAAUAUAGAUAGUGCAUCAGAAAAGUUCCAGCAGCAUUCCAAGUCCAAAAAGUUAUCCGUUAACCAUCCAAAACUCACCCGAGACCCCCGGGACCUCAACUAAAUACACCAACAAGUCCUAAAACAUCAUACGAACUUAGUCGAAACCUCAAAUCACAUCAAACAACGCUAAAAUCACGAAUCAUACCCCAAUUCAAGCCUAAUGAAACUAAGAAUUUUUAACUUCUACAUUCAAUGACGAAACCUAACAAAUCAAGUCUGAUUGACUUCAAAUUUUGCACACAAAUCAUAAAUGGCAUAACAGACCUAUUCCAAUUUCCAGAAUCGGAUUCUGACCUCGAUAUCAAAAAGUCAACUCCUCGUUCAAACUUCCAAACUUAAAUUUCUAUUUUAGCCAUUUUAAGCCUAAUUUAACUACGGACUUCCAAAUAGUUUUUCGGACAUGCUUCGAAGUCCAAAAUCACCAUACAGAGCUAAUGGAAUUAUCAAAACUCUAUUCCGGGGUCGUUUAUACAUAGUCAGCAUCUAGUCAACUAUUUUAACUUAAGCUUUAAACCUUGGAACUAAGUGUUCCAAUUCAUUCCAAAAUUUCACCGGACCCGCAUCAAUUACCCCGCCCAGUCACAUAAUAACUAUAAGGGACAAAUUGAGCAGUAAAUGGGGGAACGGGGUUGUAAUACUCAAAAUAACCGGCCGGGUCGUUACAAGGGAGGAGUUAGAAGUUGAAGAUAAUUAGAACUCUUCCACCAUGGAAGAGUAUAGCUUUAGAACUCUAGUUAUUUCCUAUUCACUAACUCUAUAUAUUGCAGGAUAUUCUCAUUUUAUAGGCACGCACAAACACUGAAUUUAAACAUGAGUUGAGAGCAAAAUAGCGAUGUAUUUUGCAAGCAAUUCCUGUGUGAUUCAAGUGUGCAAACCUUAAGCUACAUGAACCAAAUAGAAGAACCAGUUCCAAGUGUCUGUCUUUUAUUCUAGUUUCAUUGUAGUAGGGCUUUUGAGUUGUACCUUUCAGCUUUAUCUAGAAGUAAUUGUACUAGGUACUCUAAGUGUUAUAUUCAAGUUAUAGUUAACUUGAAGUUGUCACAACAACUAGAGGCUGGUUGCCACAAAGGGUUAGAGGUAAUCCUUAGGUUUACAAAGAGUUUUGUAAAUAUUAUUUUUGGCUCAGUGAUUUAGUGAAGUGUUGGGAAAAAUCCUACUAGGUAGUAGGUCGUAAUAUUUUCGCCUAUUGAGUCUGGUGUUUUUCACGUAAAAAUACUUAUGUUCUUUACGUUUUGCAUUUAUUAUUUCACAACAAUAGUAUAAGGAACACAUAGAAGAACCAGGUUCUUCUAUAAUCUAUGCACGCGAAAAAUUGGACACCACACAAAUCACUCCCCUCUUGUGUGGUAUUGAAAUACAAAAUAUCAAUUGGUAUUAGAGCGGGUUAUCCUUGAAGAUGCUAACACCUUAGGAGAAGACCAAGAUGAGUGCACCACCUAGAAACUAGGAAGGACAAUCCACUGUUAGGCCACCACUCUUUAAUGGACAUUACUUAUCUUGGUGGAAGAACAGAAUAAGAGAUCACAUUCAAGGAGAGGACUAUGAGCUAUGAGACAUUGUCACUGAUGGUCCACUAGCUACAUUGAAGAAAAAUGCUGAAGGAGUAGAUGUGCCAAAGACAAGAGCGGAUUGCACCGCUGAGGACUUUAAAAAGUGGGAGAAGAAUGCUAAAGCCAAGAAAUGGCUUGUUUGUGGACUUGGUUCAUAUGAGUACAACAUAAUCCAAGGCUAUGCCACUGCUAAGAAAAUUUGGGACACACUACAGGUGGCUCAUGAAUGAACUACUCAAGUGAAGAGAUCAAGAGUAAAUCUACUGUACUCUCAGUAUGAGAACUUUGCUAUGAAGGAUGGAGAAACCGUUCAAGAGAUGUACAACUGGUUCACUACACUGACAAAUAAACUGAAAUCUCUUGGAAAGAUUAUUCAUGAAGAAGAGAGGGUUGAGAAGAUACUUACUAGGGUCUUGUCAAUCACUUGGGAAAGCAAUAUCAUUGCCAUCCAAGAGUCAAAGAACAUUGCUGCUCUCCCACUAGAUGAAUUGAUUGGAAAUAUCACUGCCUAUGAACUUCAGAGACAAACCAUGAAGAUGGAUGUACCUAAAAAGGAAGGAAGCUUGGCACUCAGAAUAACUGAAGGUUCUGAUUUGGAGAAGAUGAUGAAAUGGAUAUGAUCACCAAAGACUUCAAGAAGUACUUAAGGAGAGGAAAGGGUUCUUCAAGAAGUGGAAGCUACAGCAAGGCAAAAGCUCCGGAGAAGCAAACCAAUGAUGGCUGCUACAAGUGUGGAAAACCUGAUCAUCACAUAAAAAACUGUCCUUUGUGGGAAAUUGAAUGAAAGAAGGAAAGAGCUGAACGAAGGAACGAGAAGAAGGAACAGGUUCAACCUAAGAAAAGUAACAACAAAGGAUCAACCAAGGCUAUGGCCACAACUUGGGGAGAAAGCUCUGAUGAUGAUGAUGACUGAGCACUUAUGGCCAUUGGAGAAUCUAAUGAAGAAACUAAGGUAUGUGUCUUUCAUCUCAAAGACAAUAUUAAAGUUUUGUCUAAAGAAAGGUAAUCUGAGUUACUACUAUAGCUAAUUGAUCAAUCUAAGGAUGUAAAUAACGAAAAGGAACAACUGUCUAAAGAAUGUGUGAUUUUGUAGGCUAAGUGCAAACACCUUGAACUUAGGGUUAGUGAAACUGUAAGUGAAAAUACUAUUGAAGAACUAGGUUCAUGCACUUGACUCGACUGUCCUAGAGCUUAGAUCUGAAAAUGUAAAAUUGAAACUAGGAACAGGUAAAAAGACAACCGAUCACACACAACUUACUUUAGAAGAAAAUGUAUAAAAAUAAAAGAUGAGUUGUACAAGAGAGAUGAACAGGUAAGAAUCCUAAAGGAGGAUCUAAGCAAGGUCAAGCAUGAGCUAGACAGAACUUGUAAAUGGGACAGGUCCUCUGAUGCACUUUCAUGGCUACAAGAAUAUCAUAGUAGCAACAGAAGAGACUUUGGGAACUCUACACCUAAGUGGGAUCCCAAAAGCAAGUACCUCACACUCUCUGAGAACAAGAUUUGCACACAUUGUGAUAACAUUGGUCACUAUAAAAGUGAAUGCACUACAAAAGAUAAGGCAAGUCAAAAGAAUAAAAAAAUUGUUCUAGGGAAAAAUAGGCUGCCAAGUUGGGCUAAAAAGAAUGUGAUUUAUCCUUUUGCCUAUAGAAAAGGAGCCAAAAUAGUUUGGGUUCCUAAGACUAUCCCCUGAUUUCUUUUUGCAGGUCCAAGUGAAGGGGAGCAGUCAAAUAUGGUACAUGGAUAGUGGCUGCUCAAAGCAUAUGACAGAAAGUAAGAACCAAUUUCUUUCACUUGAGGACCUUAAAGGAGGUAAUGUUUCCUUUCAAAAUGGGAAGAAAGGUGAGAUCAUUGGGGUUGGAAAAGUAGGUAAGACUGAUUCUCACUCUAUUGAGAAUGUCUACUUAAUAGAUGGACUGAAGUACAAUCUAAUAAGUGUAUCACAAUUAUGUGAUAGAGGUAACAUGGUAGCAUUCACCUAUACAAAAUGCUUUGUGAUUAAUCUUACCACUGAUAAGAUAGUUUUGAAGGGAAAAAGAGUGACCAACAUAUAUGUUAUGGAUCUGUCCACACUUUCAGAUAAUGAACACACUUGCUUAAGUGUGUUGGAUAAUGAUCCCCUCCUUUGGCCCAAAAACUUGGACAUGCCAGUCUAAGCCAACUCAACAAACUAGUCUCCAAGGACUUGGUAAUAUGGCUGCCUAACAUUAAGUUCAAGGAAGAUAAAGUUUGUGAGGCUUGUGCAAUAGGGAAGCAUGUAAUAUCCUCUUUCAAAAGCAAGAAAAUGGUAAGCACUACCGGGACGAUGGAACUGGUCCAUAUAGAUCUUUGUGGUCCAAUGAGAACACUAAGCAGUGGUGGUAAGAGAUAUGUUAUGGUGCUUGUUGAUGAUUACUGUAGGUUUACUUGGACAUUGUUUUUAACAUCAAAGAUGAAGCAUUUGACAUGUUCACUUCUUUUGUUAGAAAAACUCAGAAACAACUAGGUAAUCAACUUGCAUCAAUUAGGUUUGAUCAUGGUACUGAAUUUGAGAAUGCUAAAUUUGCUGAAUUUUGUGAUGAGCAUGGCAUAAAUCAUAAUUUUUUUUACUCCUAUGCUUUUACUGUUUUAUGACUUGCGGGGAUGUUUAGUUCGGAUUUGGAAGGGUUCGGGUUUAAAUUGGAACACUUGGUUCCUUAAGUUUUCCUUAAAAGGCUAAGUUUGACUUCGAUCAACGUUUUGAGUAAACGACCUCAAAAUUGGGAUUUGACAGUUUCAAUAGGUUCGUAUGAUAGUUUUAGACUUAGGCGUAUGUUCGAAUCGGGUUUUGGAUGACCCGGGAACAUUUCGGCGCCUAAUAGUGCAAGUUGGCUCCUUGAAGGAUUUUGAAGUUCUUUAAAUUUGGUUUAGAAAAGGUUUUGGUCAUAUCGAGGUCCAAAUAGGAUUCUAAGACUGGGAAUAGUUCCAUAAUAUCACUUAAGACUUGCACGCAAAAUUUGGCGUCAUUCCGAGUUGAUUUGAUGGGAAUCAGAUGCAUGAAAGUAUUUUAGAAGUUUUUGCAGUUCAUGAGUUAAUCUAUGCAUUUUGGUAUCCGAUUCGUGGAUUUUGAUAUUAUUUCGGUGUUUCGAUCGUGCGAGCGAGUCCGUAUGAUAUUUUAAGACUUGUGUGGAUGUUGGGUGUUGAGACCCGAGGGCUCGGGUGAGUUUCGGACAAUGUUCAGAAGGAUGAAGCUUCAGUUUUCUGGUGUUUUCUUUGCUGGUGUUGCAUGUGUCGCAAAUGCGAGAAAUAGUUCACAUUUGCAAACCUCGCAUUUGCGAUUAAGGCUUCGCAUUUACGAAGAAGUCUGAUCUGGGCAUAGCUCGUAUUUAUGAGAAAUCGAUCGCAUUUGCGACCUUGACAGGGUUCGCUUUUGCGAGUCCUUGGUCGCAUUUGAGACUUUGGUAGUGUGAGCCCAGGUUCGCAUUUGCAAUGUGUUUGUGGCAUUUGUGCACAACUUAUUAAGUGCGGAACUUAGGCCAUUUAGUUCAUUUUCUUUCAUCUCUUGGGCGAUUUCUGGAGCUCAUGGAAGAGGGUUUUCACCUAGCACUUUGAGGUAACUAAUUUCUAUACAACAUGAGUUAAUUUCAUAGAUUAGGGGUAGAUUAACAUAUAAAAAACUUUGUGAAAUCAAGGGUUUAGAUAAAAACCUAGGUUUUGGAUAAAAAUGAGAUUUGAUUACGAAAAUGGUUUUGGAAUUUUGUGGAAAUCAUAUAUUUGACUUCAUGAGGUUAUGGCUAACAAUUUUCUUCAAAAAUAUCCGGAAUCCGGGCACGUGGGCCAGGGGGGAGGGAGGUGAAUUUUGGAAAUUCUUCAAUUGGGGUAAUUACUUUAAUAGUUAGAAUAUGAAGUUUUGAGCCUAUAUUGACUAUUUUAUAUAACGUUUGACUAGUUUCAAGUCAUUUUGGCAGCAAAUUGAGGGUUUGAGCACAAAUCUUGGAUCGAAAAGUAGGUUUGAGACAACGUACGUCUCUUUUCUAACCUUGUAAGAGAGAAUUAACUCCAUAGGUGAGUUUAAUUAAUAUGUGCUUAUAAUUGUGGGGUCUACGUACACACGAGGUGACGAGAGGUACGUAGCUACUAAUUCUGCUUAUGUCCGAGUAAGUUUAGGGUUACACAUGCUUUGUUGACAUCGUCAUUUGAUUAUGCUUACUAAUUGCUUUGGAUAGAGCUGAGAUUGAGGAUCUCAAUGGCUUUUAAAGUUUCUAGCUGAAUUUUCUCGUUUUGGAAAGAAUUUAGGGAUAACUUGAGAAAUCUAUGUUCAACCGCAUCGCAAUUAUGUUCUGCGAGCGGGGUAAAUUUCCACUACUCUUAUGGGAGUGGGUCUUUCGCCUCGGAGGUUAAUAGAUGCAUCUAUGGUUCAUGUCGUUUGACCCUCGGCAGUGCACACAGUAUAUUUGUAUGCAUUUUGGAUCGGUUCGUACGUCCUCGGCAUAAUUCGUGCAAAAUGAUACUGGAAAUUUCAAUAUGAUUGAUAUUGCUUCAUUUGUUUAAAAGGUUAAAAAGAUAAAAUGGGAGAAAUUGAUUUGGUAAAUGCAUGAAAGGAUUAUCUAAUUAAAAUAAUUAUCAGUUACAUACAUAUAUUCUUUAUUAUUGACCCAUAGUAAGUGUCAAAGUCGACCCCUCGUCACUACUUCUUCGAGGUUGGACUAGAUACUUAUUGGGUACAUGUUGUUUAUGUACUCAUGCUACACUUCUGCACUUAAUGUGUAGGUUCUGAGGUAGGUGCUUCUGGAUAUCAGUCUGGCGCGUACACUUGAUUACUAUUGCGAGACUUUGCAGUGAGAUGUCUUCUGAGCCCGUUCUGUAGCAGCCGAAGUCUUCCUUUUGCUUUAUUUUCUAUCUAUUUUGUUCAGAUCGCAGUGCAGUACUUUUUAUAUAUUCUACUAGUAGCUCAUACACUUGUGACACCAGGUCUUGGGAAUUUAUGUUAGUAGGCACUUGGUGGUUUUGGGUUAUUUAUCUUAUCUCACUCAUUUUAAAAAUUUCGAUCUCUCAUUUUUAUAAAACUUUCAUUUCUUAUUUUGUGCAUAAAUUGAAAAUCAACUAUUUUAAACCGUUAAAAGAAAGAUCACGGAGUUAGCUUAAGGUUGGCUUGCCUACCGGUAAAUGUUAGGCGCCAUCACGGCCUAUAGGAGAAAUUGGAUCGUGACAAUAUGGUAUCAGAGCACUAGGUUCAUGUAGGUCUCAUAAGUCAUGAGCAGGCCUAAUAGAGUCUUGCGGAUCGGUGCAGAGAUGUCCGUACUUAUCUUCGAGAGGAUAUAGGGUGUUAGGAAAUUACUCUUUAUUCAUCUCCUAUCAUGCAGUUGAUGGUGUAGUAAGUUUCUUUCUCUUGUUCUCUCACAGAUGGUGAGAAUGCGCACCACAGACGUUCCAGACCCGGGAUGGGCUGCUCACCCAUUUUUCUAGAGGCCAAGGCAGAGGCCAGGGGAUGGCACCGACCCAAGGUAGGGGACUAGGUCGUCCCAGAGUUUCCCAGUUGUACCGCCAGCGGACCCAGUAGAGGAUCCAAUUGUUGAGGAACACGGCGAGGUGCUCGCACCAGAGCCAGCCCCGUUCUAUUUCAUGUCAGCACUGGGCUUUCAGGAGGUCAUGGGCCGUAUGCUAUGGUUCAUAGAUUCUAUGACCUAACUGGUUUAUUUCCAACAGACCCGGCCACAUCUCAGGUGGGAGAGGGAGCACAGACCCCUACUGCUUAGGCUCUUGGGCAUGCAACUGUCGUAUAUCAGACCCCGGGAACACUACUCAUGGGUGGAGCCCAACUAGUUGCAACAGUUGUACCUGAGCCUAGACCAGUUGCGAGCGGCGAGCCGUAGAAGCUAUUGGAUAGAUGGACCAGGCUUCAUCCUCCUGUCUUCGGGGGUGAGCGACAUGAGGAUCCCUAGGACUUCAUUUAUAGGUGCAGGGACAGACUGCACAACAUGAGUAUAUUAGAGUCCCAUGUGGUGGAUUUCACUACUUUCCAGCUGGAGGGCAGGGCCCGUAGCUGGUGGCAGUUACAUCUUCUCGGCAGACCAGCAGGUUCUCCUCCCAUGACUUGGGAUGAGUUUACACCCCUUUUCUUGGAUUGGUAUAUUCCACCCUCCCAGAAGGAAGAGUUGCAGUGUCAGUUUGAGCAGCUCUAGCAGGGUCAGGUGUCAGUGACCCACUAUGAGGCGAGAUUCUCUGAGUUGUCUUACCAUGUAUUUAUGAUACUUCCUACUGAUGGUGAGAGAGUAUGGAGGUUUGUUGCAUGAUUGCACUCCGCUAUUCAGGCUACUAUGGUUUGAGAGGUCGAGAUGCGUACUUCUUAUCAGCUGGUUAUGGAGAUAGCUUAGAGGAUUGAGGGUUAUCAUCAGCAAGGUAGAAAGUAGAUGCAACGGGACAAACGAUUCUAUUUUCCUGGAGAGUCGGCUGGGGGCAGAGGUCAGGUUGGGAGGGGUCUUCCUAGCAGGCCCACAUAUCCAGCACCACCAUCUCCUCAGGUUACUCCAGCGCGACCCUGUUUCAGUGCUAUGCCUGAGAGUUCUUAUCUCCCACCAGUUAUCCACGGUUCUUCCAGUGGGUACUCAGGCCCUCAAGGUUCUUCCAAUGCCUAUUUCAGUGCCAUGUCAGAGAGUUCAUACCGCCCACCAGCUAUUUAGGGUUCUUCCGGUGGGUAUUCAGGCUAUCAGGGUCAGACUUCAAGGCAGCAGUCCACCACUCCGGGGGGGGGGGGGAGGGGGUGGGGUAGUGGUAGGAGUACGUACGUACUCGUAGUACANNNNNNNNNNNNNNNNNNNNNNNNNGGGUUCGUUUCCGGNGGGUAGUUUCAGGGCUAUCAUGGGUGCAGACUUCAAGCAGCGAGCUCACUCGGGCGGGGNGGGGGGAGUUGUUAGGAGUGUGGAAAUCCUGGUCACAUGAAUAGAUUUUUUCCCAGACUCCGGGGCAAGGCGGUGCAGCAAAGUCAGUAGCCCAUGAUUUCAGCACCAGUAGCCGCACCAGCCAUCCAACCAGCCAGAGGCGGAGGGCAGGUGGGUAGAGGCCGUCCUAGGGGUGGAGGCCAGGUAGGUGGUGCUCCAGCUAGGUUCUAUGCUUUCCCGUCUAGACUAGAUGCAGUGGCCUCAAAUGCCGUGAUCACAUAUAUUAUUUCUAUCUACGGUAGGGAUGCUUCGGUAUUAUUUGAUCCAGGGUCCACCUAUUUAUAUGUGUCAUCUCUGUUUGCUCAUUUCCUGGAUAUUCCUCGUGAGUCCUUGGGUACUCAUGUUUAUGUGUCCACUCCAGUGGUUGAUUCUAUUAUUGUGGAUCGGGUCUGCCAGUCCUGCAUGGUUAUAUUCUGUGGCUAUGAGACUAGAGCGGAUCUUCUACUACUCGAUAUGACUGAUUUUGAGGUUAUCCUGGGAAUGGAAUGGUUAUCUCCAUAUCACGCCAUCCUUGAUUGUUAUGCCAAGACUGAUACCUUGGCGAUGCUAGAGCUUCCUUGAUUGGAGUGGAAGGGUUCGUCUAUCAGCAUACCUAGUCGGAUCGUCUAUUUUAUGAAGGCUCGACACAUGACCAAGAAGGGUUAUUUGUCUUAUAUAGCUUAUGUUUGGGAUACUACCGUAGAGACUCCAGCGAUUGAUUCGGUACCAGUAGUCUGGGAGUUCUCCGAUGUGUUUCCUUCUGAUCUUCCUGGUAUGCCAAUCGAUUUCUGCAUUGAUUUAGCUCCAGGUACCCAGUCUAUAUCUAUCCCACCGUACCGUAUGGCUCCGAAGGAGUUGAAGGGACAACUUGAGGAGUUGCUAGCAAAGGGGUUCGUCAAGCCGAGUGUAUCACUUUGGGGUGCACCGGUGUUAUUUGUGUAGAAGAAAGAUGGGACUAUGCGGAUGUACAUCGAUUACUGCUAGUUGAACAAAGUUACCAUUAAGAACAAGUACAUGUUGCCGCGUUGCAGGGUGCUAGGGUGUUUUCUAAGAUCGACGUGAGAUUAGGCUACUAUCAGCUAAAGAUUCGGGACUCGGAUGUUCUAAAGACUGCUUUCCGAACUAGAUAUGGCCAUUAUGAGUUUCUAGUGAUGUCCUUCGGCUUGACUAACGCCCCAGUGACGUUUAUGGAUUUGAUGAACAGGGUGUUCAUGCCCUAUAUUGAUUCAUUCAUCAUUGUCUUCAUUGAUGACAUUUUGAUCUACUCGCGUAGCAUGGAGAGCAAGAGCAACAUUUGAGAGUGGUGCUUUAGACCUUGCGGGAAUAUAAGCUAUAUGCUAAGUUCUCCAAGUGUGAGUUUUGGCUAGAUUCUGUAGCAUUCUUGGGGCAUGUUAUAUCAGGCGAGGGUAUUAAGGUGGAUCCCAAGAAGAUUGAGGCAAUUCAGAGUUAGUCUCGUCCCACUUCGGCGUUUGAGAUCAGGAUAUUCUUGGGAUUAUCAGGUUAUUAUCGCCGGUUUGUGGAGGGCUUCUUAUCUAUUGCAACACAUUGACUAGAUUGACGCAGAAGGGUGCUCCAUUCCGUUGGUCCGAUGAUUGUGAGGUGAGCUUCCAGAAGCUCAAGACAGCUUUGACUACCGCACCGGUCCUAGUGUUGCCUUCCGGUUCGGGGAUGUAUACUGUGAAUUGUGAUGCUUCACGCGUUGGUUUGGGUUGUGUAUUGAUGAUGCUUCACGCGUUGGUUUGGGUUGUGUAUUGAUGCAAGAGGGGCAAGUUAUUGCAUACGCUUCACGUCAGCUGAAGCCCCAUGAGAAGAAUUAUCAUGUGCAUGAUUUGAGUUGGCCGCGAUUGUUCAUGCUCUUAAGAUCUUGAGGCAUUAUCUUUAUGGGGUGUCCUAUGAGGUUUACACUGAUCAUCGUAGCUUGCAGCAUUUGUUCAAGCAAAAGGAUCUCAAUUUGAGGCAACAUAGAUGGCUUGAGUUAUUGAAGUAUUAUGACAUCACCAUAUUUUAUCAUCUGGGCAAGGCGAAUGUAGUCGCGGAUGCCUUGAGCAGAACAGAGAGUAUGGGUAGCGUGGCACUCAUUUCAGCAGAGGAGCGUCCACUAGCUUCGAACAUUCAGUCCUUGGCUAAUAGACUUGUGAGGUUGGAUAUUUCACAGCCCAACCGAGUUCUUGGAUGCGUAGUUGCCCAGUCUUCACUAUUGGAGCAGAUCAAGGCUCAACAGUUUGAUGAUCUGCACUUGUUGGUUCUCAGGGAAAUGGUACUACAAGGUGGUGCCAAGGAGGUUACUAUUGGCUAGGAUGGUGAUCUACACCUCCUGAGUCGUCUAUGUGCCCCUAAUGAUGAUGGCCUUAGGGAGAGGAGUCUAGAGGAGGUGCACAGUUCUAGAUAUUCCAUUCAUCCAGGUGCUAAGAAGAUGUAUCGCGACCUGAGAUAGCAUUAUUGGUGGCGGUGGAUAAAGAAAGACAUAGUUAAGUAUGUAGCUAGAUGCCUAAAUUGCCGGCAGGUUAAGUAUGAGCACCAGAGUCCAGGUGGCCUACUCCAACAGAUGCCUAUACCUGAGUGGAAGUGGGAGAGCAUUACUAUGGACUUUGUGGUUGGGUUGCCGCGGACUUUGUGGAAGUUUGAUGCAGUUUGGGUCAUUGUUGACAGAUUGACCAAGUUAGCACACUUCAUUCCAGUUGUGACUACGUAUACUUCGGAGAGGUUGGCCCAGAUUUAUAUUCAAGAGAUUAGUUCGGUUGCAUGGUGUUCCUUUUUCCAUCAUAUCAGAUAGAGGCCCUCAGUUUACUUCGCAUUUCUGGAGAGAAGUACAGAGUGAGUUGGGGACCCGUGUAGAGCUCACCACAACAUUUCAUCCCUAGACCGACGGGCAGUCAGAGCGGACAAUCCAGAUCUUGGAGGACAUGCUCAGGGCAUGUGUGAUUGACUUUGGGGGACAAUGGGAUCGAUUCUUGCCCUUAUCAGAGUUUUCUUACAACAACAGUUAUCAGUCCAGCAUCGCGAUGGCUCUAUUUGAGGCUCUAAGUUAUAUGGUACUGAUUUGGUGAAGGAUGCUUUGGAAAAAGGUAAAGUUGAUUCAGGAGCAACUUCGCACAAUACAGUACAGACAGAAGAGUUACGGAUCAGAAGGCGCAUGAUUUAUCAUUUAUGGUGGGCAAGAAGGUUCUCUUGAAAGUGUCGCCGAUGAAGGGGAUUAUGAGAUUUGAAAAAAAAAGGCAAGUUGAGCCCAAGGUUUAUAGGCCCAUUUGAGGUGUUGAGACGAGUCGGGUAGGUUUCUUAUGAGCUUGCUUUGCCUCCCAGUCUAUCGGGUGUUCAUCCAGUUUUCCAUGCGUCUAUGCUCUGAAGGUAUCAUGCCGACAUGUCAUAUGUGUUAGACUUCAGCACGAUUCAGUUAGAUGAGAGCCUGGUUAUGAGGAGGAGCCAGUUGCCAUUGUGGAUAGGCAAGUUCGCCAGUUGAGGUCCAAGAAUAUUUUAGUAAAGGUUCAGUGGAGGGGCCAACCAGUCGAGAAGGUGACUUGGGAGUCCAAAGAGGACAUGCAGAGCAUAUAUCCAAACUUAUUCAGCACUCCAGGUAUGAUUAACGACCCAACAUGUCAUUUUGCUUUUUAGAACCUCAUUCCCUUAAAUAAGACUCUUUGUAUGUGCUUUUACUGUUUUAUGACUUGUGGGGAUGGUUAGUUUGUAUUUGGAACGGUUCGGGUUGAAAUCGGAACACUUGGUUCCUUAAGUUGGCCUUAAAAGGCUAAGUUUAACUUCGGUCAAUGUUUUGAGUAAAUGACCUUGGAAUCACGAUUUGAUGGUUCCAAUAGGUUCGUAUGAUGAUUUUGGACUUAGGAGUAUGUUCAGAUCGGGUUUUGGAUGACCCGGGAGCGUUUCUGCGCCUAAUAGUGAAAGUUGGCUCCUUGAAGGGUUUUUAAGUUCUUUAAAGUUGGGUUUUAAAAGGUUUUGGUGAUAUCAAGGUCCAAAUAGGAUUACGAGACCGGAAAUAGUUCCGUAAUAUCAUUUAAGACUGGCACACAGAAUUUGGCAUCAUUCCGAGUUGAUUUGAUAUGAAUCAGACACGCAGAAGUAUUUUAGAAGUUUUUGGAGUUCAUGAGUUAAUUCAUGCAUUUUGGCGUCCGAUUCGUAGAUUUUGAUAUUAUUUUGAUGUUUCGAUCAUGCGAGCGAGUUUGUAUGAUGUUUUAAGACUUGUGUGGAUGUUGGGUGUGGAGCCCUGAGGGCUCGGGUGAGUUUUGGACAAUGUUCGGAAGGAUGAAGCUUCGGUUUUCUGGUGUUUUCAUUGCUGGUGCUGCAGGUGUCGCAAAUGCGAGAAAUAGUUCAUAUUUGCGAACCUCGCAUUUGCGAAGAAGCCUGAUCUGGGCAUAGCUUGCAUUUGCGAGAAAUCAAUUGCAUUUGCGGCCUUGACAGGGUUCGCAUUUGAGACCUUGGCAGUGGGAGCCCAUGUUCGCAUUUGCAAUGUGUUUGUCGCAUUUGUGAACCAGAUGUUGCAAAUGCGACAUUUGAGACAUGUGCACAGCUUAUUAAAUGUGGGACUUAGGCAAUUUAGCUCAUUUUCUUUCAUCUCUUGGGCGAUGUUUGGAGCUCUUGGAGGAGGGUUUUCACCUAGCACUUUGAGUUAAGUAAUUUCUACACAACAUGAGUUAAAUACAUAGAUUAGGGGUAGAUUAACAUGUAAACAAAAUGGUGAAAUCAAGGGUUUAGACGAAAAACCUAGGUUUUGGAUAAUAAUGGGAUUUGACCACGAAAAUAGUUAUGGAAUUUGGUAGAAAUCAUAUAUUUGACUUCAUGAGGUUAUGGGUAACAAUUAUUUUCAAAAAUUUUCGAAAUCGGGGCACGUGGGCAGGGGGGGAGGUGAAUUUUGGGAAUUAUUCAAUUGGGAUUGGGUAAUCAGUUUAAUAGUUAGAAUAUGAAGUUUUGAGCCUAUAUUGACUAUUUUAUAUAACAUUUGACUAGUUUCGAGUCAUGUUGGUACCAAAUUGAGGGUUUAAGCACAAAUAUUGGAUCUGAAAGUAGGCUCGAGACAAGGUAAGUCUAUUUUCUAACCUUGUAAGAGGGAAUUAACCCAAUAGGCGAGUUUAAUUAAUAUGUUCUUAUAAUUAUGGGGGCUACGUACGCACGAGGUGAUGAGAGUCCGUACAUAACUACUAAUUCUGCUUAUGUCCGGAUAAGUUUUAGGGUUACACCAUGCUUUGUUGAUAUCGUCAUUUGAUUAUGCUUACUAAUUGCCUUGGAUAGAACUGAGAUUGAGGAUCUCAAUGGCUUUUAAAGUUUCUAACUGAAUUUUCUUGUUUUGGAAAGUAUUGAGGGAUAACUUGAGAAAUCUAUGUUCAAUCGUAAAUUUUCACUACUCCUAUGGGAGCGGGCCGUUCGCCUCGGCAGGUUAAUAGAUGCAUCUAUGGUUCGUGUCGUUCGACCCUCGGCAGUGCACACAAUAUAUUUAUAUAUAUUUUGGAUUGGGUCGUACGUCCUCGGCAUAAUUCGUGUGAAAUGAUACUGGAAAUUUCAAUAUGAUUGAUAUUUUUUCAUUGGUUUGAAAGGUUAAAAAGAUAAAAUGGGAGAAAUUGAUUUGGUAAAUGCUAUCGGUGAAAGGAUUAUCUAAUUAAAUUCCUGCUUCUGAGUUUUAUUGUCAUUUAUAUAUCCCAUGUUUAAUUAUCAGUUAUAUACAUAUAUUCUUUAUUGUUGACCCUUAUUUAAUAUCAAAGUUGACCCCUCGUCACUACUUCUUCGAGGUUAGACUAGAUACUUACUGGGUAGAUAUUGUUUAUGUACUCACGCUACACUUCUGCACUUAAUGUGCAGGUUCUGAGGUAGGUGCUUCUGGAUAUCAGUCCAGCGCGCACACUUGAUUACUAUUGCGAGACUUUGCGGUGAGCUGUCUUCCGAGCCCGUUCUGCAGCAUCCGAAGUCUUCCUUUUUCUUUAUUUUUAUCUAUUUUGUUUCAGACAGCAGUGUAGUACUCUUUGUAUAUUCUACUAGUAGCUCAUACACUUGUGACACCAGGUCUUGGAAAUUUAUGUUGGUAGGCACUUGGUGAUUUUGGGUUAUUUAUCUUAUCUCACUCGUUUUAAAAUUUUCGAUAUCUCAUUUUUAUAAAACUUUCAUUUCUUGUUUUGUGCAUAAAUUGAGAAUCAACUAUUUUAAACCGUUAAAAGAAAGAUCGCGGAGUUAGCUUAAGGUUGGCUUGCCUAGCGUUAAAUGUUAGGCACCAUCAUGGCCUAUAGGAGAAAUUGGGUCGUGACAAUGAAUGAGUCUGCAUUCUCAAUGUUUAUCACAAGUCACAUUCUCUUCAAGGAAUGGAGUAUAGUCAUAGCGACGUGCUUUAUUAUUUUCCAUACCAAUUUGAUGGUAAACAUUUUCUUCACCUUUCGAAGGAUAUAUUUUGAGAACCAUUAUUGUUCUCCCAAUUGAUAAUGACCAUAAUGAUGACUAUUAUUAUUUUUCCAUUUGUUUGGCACCCCCACGUUCAUUGGUCAACCACUUAUCUUCAUUUAGACUUAUUAUGCACCGCUACUGCAUUCACUUCAAGAAUGGAGCAAAUCAAGUGGGACAAGCUUCAUGAUUUUUCAUGAAAAAUAUAUUAUUUUUAUUUAGUCAUCAUUAUAUCAUCAAUAUGUACAUUGAGACUAAAACUCAAUACCUUACCGAUAUAAAGGUACGUUAGACCAUAAUGAAUUAGGACUCAAACCCAAAUCUUAUCAUCAUGGAGUAUUAGGACUUUUACCUGAUGUCUUACUCUCAUGGUGCGCUAAGACUUAAAGCCACCAUCUUACCCUUAAUCAAUUUUAUCACCGUAUUCAGUCAUCAUAUAACUUUUAAGUUUUACCUCUUUUAAUGGUUAUAAGUAUAAACUCGUCUAGUGAUAAAUAAAACUUAAGAAUUGCAUCACUUUAUCACAUAUUUAAUUUGAUGCAACAUAUGAACUAUAUUAUUAGAAGAGAAAGCCAAAUAGUGGGUAUCCAAAUAAUCUAAUAUCUUAAUCAAGAUGUUAAAGCACAUCAAAUACUAUUAGUCCCCGAAAUUAUUAUUAUUAUUUAUUUAUUUAUUUUUAAAUAUGAUUUUCGAAAAAUUAUCAACCUAGAUAGACGAUAUGUGCUUCUAAUUAAUUAGUAUGGAUCAUAAUAUAAUUGGCAUUAUUUUUCAUGUGCCCAAAGCAGAAAAUUAACGUAAUAUAUUGCCUUUAUCAAAAUAGAAAACUAAAUGUAAAGUUUUUCACUCAAGUUGUCAUUAAGAAAUAUAUUCUAGAGAACAAACCACUCAAUAAUAAAUAUAUAUCACUUAAUUGUCAUCCUUAUUUGAACGUUAAAUAGAGCAUGAUUAUUAUAAAUGGGGAAUCGGUAAAAUCAAAAGAAGUAGAUUUCAUCUACACAAACACAUGUUGCAAUACCUAUAAGCAUACCUGAUUUUGAACUUAUGUUCUUGGUUGCAUUACUCAUUCUUUCGUAAUUCGUGCUAAUAACGUGCUAUGAAAUAUAGCUCAAAGUAACAAUAUAGAACAAGAAAAAAUAAGCUAGAAGAUAUAGAGAGAAAGACAGAAGAGAUUCUUAUUUCGUCUUCAAUUUUGUGUUCUUUCCGUCUAUUACAAGGCCUUUAUAUAGGCAUGAAAAGUGAAAAAAUAUUUUAUUGAAUAUGUCAUUAAUUAUUUGAGAUCAUGGAGGAAGAUCAUGGGGAGGUUAUGAAGUUACAAUCAUAACUCCAUAAGUAUUAUAAUAGUAAAAGUUAUAAAAAUAAUGGAGAAGAGUAGUGAGCAUUACUCCUUUGGUGGUUAUACAUCCGCCAUAAUUCAAGAUUUUAUAACAAAGCAUUAGUUUUGGCCCAUUUUGUUGCCUUUCGUUCCUCAAGAAAACGCAGCAACAGUAGUUGCUUUGCUUCUCCAUUUUAGCGAGAAAUGGAUGUCUUUAAGGAAACUUGGAAGCUUAAAAUUCUUGCAAGCCAAAGUGGCAACAACUACAAGAAUAGUAGAUCGUCUAGCUCUUGCUAUAUAUUUCUUCUAAAAUCUUAUGAACAUUUCAAGAUUGGAAUUUCUAGGGUUUGAGUCAAAGAGGUAAUUAUACUACUCAAGCUUCCUUUACGGUGAUUAAAUAAGGUUUUUUUAAGGAUACUUAUGGGUAAUAUUUGUGGAAUGAAUGGGUUAUUGAAGUAACCUUGAAAAUGACUGUUCUUGACAUUGAAAAGAUUAAGGAGGAAGAAGAUGAAUAGUAAGAAAUUAAUAAAAACAUGAUUUUUUGAUGAUGUUAACAACUUCUAGAGUUCAAUUAAGACUAAGCAUUGAGUUAGUGGAUAUAAAUUAUUGUUUGAAUGAUGAAAUGGAUGUUGGAAGGCUUAUAGUUAAUGUUUAGGCUUUAAAUGGGUUAUGAUAGGCUCAACUGGAUAAUAAUUGAGCUCCAAUUGAAUAUGUGUGAUAUAGAUUGAUGUAACUGGAUGUGUUGGACAUUGUUGAGCCUGUUGGAAAGCUAAUCCGAGGUAAAUUAAGAUGCACUUUCUUUUAAUGAGUUUUUGACGAAUUCCAAGAAUUUCAAAGUAUGCUUAAAGCUGUUUAAAUGUUGGCUUGGUUUGUUUGAGUGAGUGAUCGAACCUUACCUUCCAUGAUUUUAACGUUAUGUGAUGUUUUGUGCUAACUUAUAGUAUCAUAUAUGUAGUAGGACUUGCAUUGUUGGUCAUUUUAUGACUUUUAUUGAAUGAUAGUACUUUAAACCACGAUUAUCAGUUAAUUUGAAUCAAUGAUUAUUACAAAUUUUGAAACUCAUUAUCUUUUGAUUUUCAAUUUAGCGAAGUAUUUUCAAAGGUUAUCAGUUUAUAAAAGUCAAAAGAACUUUAUCGAUUUCAAAGUAUAGAACUGAGCUAUUAGCCUUAAGAGCCAAUUAUCGAAAAAUGUUCAUAGGACCUACGAGUCAUAGAGUUUAAAGAAAAAUGUAUUUGAAAGGACCAUAGUUAUUAUCGUUGAUGCGUACCAUAUAUUAUCUAGAGAGACACCUUACCGUGCUAGCACUAUUGCAAAAUCUCAUAGCAAUGGGUGAUGCGGCCUAGUGACCAGGCGAUGGUCACUAUCGUCAAUAUCCGUCGGGUGAGACGCCCAAGUUGACCGGGGGAUGGUCAACAUACAGAUUCAAAUACUGAUUAUUGUUAUAGUUAUUCUAGCUUAUGUGUACCAUAUAUUGUCCAGAGAGACACCUUGUCGUGCUAGCACUAUCGCCAAAAUCCCAUAGCAAUGGGUGACACGGCCUCGUGACCAGGCGAUGGUCACUAUCGUCAAUAUCCUUCGGGUGAGACGCCAAUGUUGACCGGGGGAUGGUCAACAUACAGAUUUAAACACUGAUUUUCAUCACGAUCAAAAAAUUUCCAAAUUAUCGAAAUGACAAAGAAAUACUUAUAAUUUAUAAAAAGGUGUAUAAUUGAUAAAAAUGAUCUAACAUUGUGUUUAAUAUUACAUGAAAAUGCUUUUAGUGCUCAUUAUUUUUCACAAGUAAUUUUAUGAAAUCUCAUACUUAUCAUACUUUAUGUAUCUCUAAAGUAUCGUUCCAACCUUAUCGGAAGGAGUCAAUGCUAUUUACGGGGUACAAUUAUUUAUAUUGUACUCAUCCCUUAUUUUUUUUGGUGGGCAUUGUGUGACAUUACAAAUAGAUUUGCCUUGGUGGUGGCGAGGCGAGGCGAAUUAGGUUGCUACCACUCCUACUUCACUACUUAUGGUGAGCUUUACCUUCUUCAUCAUGAAAGUUACCUUAUAGUUGCCUAUUCUUAUGUAUAUCGUUAGAGGUUCCAUGGCAUAUAUUGUGGGAGGUCUAGUUAUAUAUAAAACAAUAACUUCAUUAUCAUUAUUUGUUAUAAAAAAAUAAUUUAAACGUUUCAUCGAAUUAUCAUAUCAUUAGUUCAUGAAAGGAUUAUAUAGUCACAGUGGUUCGCUCGAUGCUAGUUAACGACAUUGGAUGUUUGUCACAUGUGUAUACCUAAAAUCGGGGCGUGAUAAAAUUUGGUAUUAAAGCGCUAGGUAGAGUAUGUCUUAGGGUGUCAUUGAACCGUGUCUAGUAAAAUACUACUUACUGAUGUGUUAUAUGUCGCACUUAUAAUUGGGAGGCUACCGGAUAAAUUUGGAAUGUUUCCCCUUUCUGAUAUUCUAGAUCUUGCAUUAAAGCGUAAAGUGAGAACCUAUCUCUCUUUUUCGUGAUUCGCAUAUAUGGUUGACACUUGGCAUGUUCGAGGGGCACACGAUUCGAUUCUUAUGUAAUUGCAUUGGCUUCUUGAAAUGUCAUGCCUGUGGUAAUUGAUGACCCAUUGUAUGGGCAUGUAAAUAUAAUAAUAAUAAAAAUAAAAAUAAAUAAAUUCGUUGGUUAUAGUGCUAAAGGCCUAUUUGAAAUAAGAUGGGAUAAUGAUAUUUCUGUCAGUUCUGUCAAAGUGAUAAUGGGACUCNNNNNNNNNNNNNNNGUCGACAACCUCAAUAAACCACAAUUUCUCUUAAUUUUAAAAAUAUAAUAUUUAAAUUCAGUAGACAAAUCUCACGCAUCAUAUAUAAAUACAAUCCCAAAACCCGGUGUCACUGAGUACAUGAGUAUCUAAAUGAUAACAAAUCUGACUGAUAUAAUCACUGUCUAAAAAUGUAGAACCGUACAAUAACAUAAAGGAAGAGAGUCAAGGUCAGCGGAUGGCAAGCAACUACCUCGAUAGUCUCCAACUAAUAACACUUUGAGAUCUAAUAACCGUCGUAUUUGGAAGCACCUGGAUCUGCACACGAGGUGGAGGGUGUAGUAUGAGUACAACCAACUCAGCAAAUAACAAUACUAAAUAAAGAACUGAAAGUAGUGACGAACUUCACAACUAAGUCCAAUUACAGUAAUUUUCAACAUAACAAGGUAGGCAUACUUUCAAGUUUAACAUUUAAUGCCAAAACAGUAAUUUCAUGUCACGUUCAACUGAAAAAUAAGAUAAUAUCUGUCAGAAUUUUUCAAAACACUGGUAUAAGACAGCUGAAGUGCAACAAUAAUAAAAUUAAAUGUAUCCUCUCAGGACCAUAGCCACUCAACCAUUCUCAGCACUCGCACUCAGUAGGUACCUGCGCUCACUGGGGGUGUGUACAGACUCUGGAAGGGCUCCUUUAGCCCAAGCGCUAUAAUCUGCAUGGACAACCCACGUGCUAUAAUAUAAUAUAUGGAUCUGCACGGACAACUCACGUGCUGCACGGAUAACUCACGUACUAUAAUAUCAAUAUCUGGAUCCGCACGGAUAACUUACGUGGUGCACAGACAACUCACGUGCUAUAGUAUAAUAUUUGGAUUCGCACGGAUAACUCACGUGCUGCAUAGACAACUCAUAUCCUAUAGUAUAAUAUCUCACAAUCAGGCCAUCGGCCUCACUCAGUCAUAAAUCUCUCCAGUCUCUCGGUCUCUCAAUAAUCAUGAUAAUUAGCCCAAACAACAAUAAUAUAAUGCAUCAAUAAUGAACAAUAGAUACUGAAAUAAAAUAAAUAAGUAAACUGUGACUGAGUACAACACAACAAUUUAGCAGAUAAUUCAAUAUGUACACGACCUCUGUAGGUCCCUACAGUGUCAACACAUAAUCUAAACAUGAUUUGUGGUUCAAUUUUUUUACUAUAUGGAGAAUGUACAUAUAACCACAGAUUAUUCAACUACACAGUUUCAUAAAAUUUGACCAAGUCACAACUCCUACGGUGCACGCUCACACGCCCGUCACCUAGCGUGUGCGUAACGUCAAAACCGAACACAUAACACAAAAUCCGCGGUUUCAUACCCUCAAGACCAAAUUUAGAACUGUUACUUACCUCAAACCGCGUAAUUCUUUAUUAUGCUAUGCCUUUGCCUAGCGAAUCGGUCUCCAAACGCCUCAAAUCUAGUCACAAAUAAUUCGAUUCAAUCAAUACUAAUUAUGGGAAUUGAUUCCAUAUGAAAAUAUUAACUUUUCUAACAAAGUUCGAAAUUGCACCCAAAAUUGAAACCCGACAAAAGUUACAAAAUAUGAACGCUCAUUAAAUCACGAGUCCAAUCAUAUAAAUUUUACCCAAAUCCGACAUCAACUCGACCCUCGAAUCUUUAAUUUAAACCAAGAGGGUUUUCCCUAAAUAUUCAAAUUUAAUUCACCAAUUAAAUGUUAAAAAUAACCAUGGAUUCAGGUAAUUUAACCAAUAUUGAGUUAAGAACACUUACCCCAUUGUUUUCCUUGAAAAUCUCCCGAAAAUCGCCUCUUCCCGAUCUCCGAUUAGUCAAAAAUAAAAAAUGGGACAAAGUCCCAUUUUCAGAACUUAAAGUUUCUGUUCAGGCGUUUCUUCUUCGCGAACGCGGAAGCUUCCUCGCGUUCGCGAAGCAAAAAAUUGUGCUGCCUGGAUUUCCUCCUUCGUGAACGUGAGCCCGGUCUUACAUACGCGAAGACCAAAUUUCCCCCAGGCCGGCUUUCCCUUCCGCGUACGCGAGGCCUCGAUCACGAAUGCGUAGCUUUGUCCCUCGACCCUUCGCAAACGCAUGCCCUCGGUCGCGGACGCGUAACUUUACCCCUCGACCCUUCGAUAAUGCGUAGCACAAAAUGGUCCAGUCCAAAUGCCCUCUUCGCGAACGCGAUACUCCACUCGCGAACACGAUGAAGGAAACCAGAUACAGGCAUGAGAAAAUUCCAACAACUAUUUAAGUCUAAAUUUCGAUCCGUUAACAAUCCGAAACUCACCCGAGGCCCUCGGGACCUCAACCAAGUAUACCAAUAAGUCUUAAAACCUCAUACGAACUUAGUCGAAACCUCAAAUCACAUCAAACAAUACUAAAACCACAAAUCACACCCCAAUUUAAGCUUAACUAAACUAACGAAUUUCAACUUUUACAUUCGAUGCCGAAACCUAUCAAUUCAAUUUCAAUUGACCUCAAUUUUUGCACACAAGUCAUAAAUUACAUAAUAGAGCUAUAAAAAAUUUUAGAACUGGAUUCCGACUCCGAUAUCAAAAAGUCAACUCCCCGGUCAAACUUUCAAACUUAAAUUUCUAUUUUAGCCAUUUCAAGCCUAAUUUAGCUACGGGGUUCCAAAUAAAUUUUCGGACACGGUCCUAAACCCAAAAUCACCAUACGAGACUAUUGGAAUCGUCAAAACUCUAUUCCGGAAUCGUUUACACAUAAGUUGACAUCCGACCAACUAUUUUCACUUAAGCUUUAAGUCUUGGAACUAAGUGUUCCAAAUUCAUUCUAAACCUCCCCGACAAGUCGCAUAAUUAUAAUUUGACACAGGAUAAGCAAUAAAUGGCGGAAAAGGGUUGUAUUACUCGAAACGACCGGUCGGGUCAUUACAUUCUCCCCUACUUAAAUAUACAUUCGUCCUUGAAUGUGCCAAGAUUUGUUCCUAUGCCUUUAAAUCAUUAUUCCACCUUAUCAUGCACAUACCUGGGGUGAUCACAUGUCCCUCUAUUCUAUGUAGGUCUGGCAACAUAAUAUAACUGGAAGUCAUUAAUUCAACCUUAGGUCAUAAACCUUGAAAUUAAAUUUCUAGCAUUCAGAAUUUCUUUUUCAAGACCCGAAUCUCACAUCUACAUAUUGUAUAAAUCUGAAUAAACUAUAUUUAGCCAUAACCAUAACCCCAGAUAUAGUCACAUAACAUACUACACAACUCGCAUGAUUGCAACACCAUUCCCGAUCACAAUAACUACUCCAAACUAACCAAGUACUAGUAUUAAACCCCACAUCCCACAUAACCUCGUUCCAAAACCUUCAAACAUUGCCGAUAAUGAAAGAAACAUACAGGAACUCACAACCACUUACUAGAUCAGCAGGUCAUAGAGCUUUCCCUCAUUCAACAGGUACCAUGGCCAAUUGUUUAAGCCGAAUUCUAAAUUAUUCUUCCAACACGUUGUAAUCAAAUAUGAUAGUACCCAUUCUAGGUCCAAUGACCUUAUAUUAUGAAACAUAUUUAUUCCACAUACAUGCCAUACUAAUAUAACUCCAUUCUCAACUGCACAAUUUGUGUACCAAAAAUGGAAAAUGUCUCAAACAAGAGAACCAUUUUGCAAGUUCAACAAGCACCACUACAACCGCAAUGCUAUGAGCUCAUCAUAUAUAGCAGAACCAAGACACACGAAUCUAAUAAUGAUAACCAGCUUUUCUAGAUCUCACAUUAACAUCACUUGUACAUGGCCUAAACCUCACAUAUAUGUGCACUCCUAGCGCGUAGCUAUCACAAAUAAUUAACGCAACUAGUGCCCCCACUGAGUUUAAAUAAAGCAUUCACCUCAAACAGGAUGCAAUCCUGAAAUAAUAUGCUUCUGAGAACUCUCAGUCUCUAAUUUCAUAAAAUACAUGAAUCACCGUAGCUGAUCCCAACUCCAGCACUCGAAUGGCUAACACACAUUUCAUGCACGAUCAUCCGACCAGGAGUACUUUCAUAAUUCUUCCGUGCCACAUAGAAAUAAUUUAAAUAUCAACAGUCUAUCAACCAGGUGAGUAUCACAAUACUGAUGAAAAUCUGUAAGUCAAAACGCAAUGCGCCUUUUAAAAUGCGAUCCCUUCUCAGGGAUUACCGUGCAGUUAGAACAUUCAUCUAAAUAUGUGGAACUGACCAUUCUGCCCAGAAUUCGUGACCUUCCUUCCAUGAAUGAACUGCCACCUUGUACACGUAAAUCUUAAUCCCGCGCUACACACCACAUCUAUCAUUCCAUCAUGUGACAAGCACGAGAAUAUCAUUAUCAACUUUGGGUAACCAAUAAAUUACAUACCCAGUCAUUUAGUAACCUUCAUCUUGCUUCCUUCAAGGAGGAAUUCAUAAUACACAACACGUUCCCUACACCAGUAGAAAAUAUCCGGUUCAACCCAUGGUAGAAACAAUUAAGAACACUUUGAAAUCCAUUUGCACAUAACCAAGCUAUCAGAACUAAUUCCCUCUAACUCGACCAAGCCACGCAGGUCACCAAACCCAAGAAUAUUGCCACCAAAAUUUCUGUAAAGUCUCACCACAUCAUAAUUACCCCAUAAAUACCACAACCGUAACACUCACUCUGAAAAUACCUUAUAUGAAUUUAAAAUUAUUCCACUUUCCUUUCUUAUACUGAAAUGUAGAAUUCAUAGUCAUACAAAAUUACCGCAAGUCUCGACACCUUCAAAUGCAAAUCUCAGAUUUUAUCCAUAUACAAGUCCGAAAAUAUUCUCAGUUGCUAUAUAUAAUUCUUGAACCCAUUAGAGCUUUUUCGGGAGUUACCCACUUUGCUCAAAUCUAAAUUACACCGGCCAAACAGGCCGAAAGGCACAAGCCCCAUUAGCACAACAACCCCCAAAGAAGUAACCCUACCUUAACACCACCAAUCAAAUUCAUACUUCGUGCGCACUAUGUUCUUCAAAAUAACAAUUUAAUCAUUCCAUGUUUUUCAUAUAUUUAUAAAGUUCCAUAUAACCCAUAUUCAGGAAUUUCCUUACUCGAGUCAUCCUCGAUCUCCAUCUCUGCAAGUCAUAACUGAUCCAUAAGUAUAUCUCAGACCAAAACUAAAAUUUAGCACAUAACCAUGAAAUCAAAUUGUCAAUAGCAGGCUCCCCCACUUAGCUUUAAGCUACAAUUAUAUAAACUUAGAACCCGCAAGGAUUUAUCCUUCUCAAUUACCAUGAUCUCGCACCGUUAACUUCUCAAAGUCUUUUGUUAAGCUUUUCAUGGACAUUCUGAAUCACCAGCCACAGUCACGCACUCGACCUCUUACCGGGUAGCAAGUACUAUUCCUCGCAUAAGCUUCAUCAAUAUUAUGCCACCGCUAACUGCUCACCGGAGAUAACCCACAUGUGGAAUUCCUUACCGACAUCUUCCAACGACGAUGCACUGGGUACAACAACCACGUAAUCAGUAAAUUCUCCUAAGCCCAUGCUCGCCCAAUAUCUGUAUAAGUCUGCACUUUCCCUAUUGACAUCAACUGAAAGUUCAACAAUACCUUCCGAACUCAAGUCAUAUUGCACUUGAAACGAUAAUCAGAUCCUCACAUCCCUCUUCAUUUCAAAAGAACUCCUUUUUGCCAUAUUCAAUCUUUCUUCGUACAAUAACCAUCAUUCCAAAUAAAGUCUAUAGGCCAAAUCACAUUCCAUCAUGAUUCCCAAACCGUUAUAUACUUUCUCAAGGCGUGCGACUACCCUACCACAGAAUCCAUAUGCUAAUCUGCCACUCUUACUUUGGUUAAACCAUCUCCUUUAAGCAACUUCUCAACCUCUACUUCUCCUACUUGACUUGUUAGUACUUCAACCACCGCAAAACACUUCCCGUCAUGUAUUCCAUCAUACUUUGCUACCCAACUGUUGCAUCAAAUCAAAACGCAUCUCUGUAGCACCUAAACCAAUAAAAAUGUUACCGACUCUAAGCCUCUUCGAAGAUCAUCUUUCUCGAGCCAUCAACAUUAGAGAUACCAAUUCGAUUCUGAACAGUUGCACACAACUAUCUCUGGCAACCGCCCCUCAGGCACCAUUUCACAACACCCUGCCCCGAAGGCAAAAUCCAAGAAGACCGUAACACCGGCGGACCAUAAUGCGUUCAAACAAGGACGACGACAUCACAUCACAAUGAAAAUUCCACCAUGCUCGCAAAUAUCAAGUCUUGUUACUUUAACAACCAAACUUGGACAUCUAUAGUCCAAUUGCCUUUCCUCCGAUGGAAUUAAUUGCUGAACCCCUUAAUCAUGCACUGAGAAAUCCUCUCUUCGAGCCAUUCACCGCCUCAACACAUAACGAUCACCUUACCAUUACACCAACAUUGUGCGAUAACAACGCAUAGCCAUCGUAGCAACCCAUGCACGGUCUCGAAAUCAUAGAAAAUACAGACACUGAGCUGGAAAAAAAGAACAUCCUUCUGCAAGGCAACGAUAAUAGCCUACCCUAACACGCAGGGAAAAACAUCCUGCACCAUGUUUUCAAUACUACUACAACUCCUCGACACCCAAUUAAUAACAAGCGUUUCGCGUUGCAUAAGAUUGAGUAGGAAGGAAAUAAAGGCACAAGCCUCAAUAGAAUCAAACUGCACGAUGAGGAAGUCAAGAAGGGAAGUGCUCCUAACAACCCUGUAGCCUCUUGAAGAUAAGUACACACAUCUUUGUAUCGAUCCGCAAGACUCUACUAGCCUUGCUCAUGACUCGUGUGACCUAUGUAACCUAGGCUCUGAUACCAACUUGUCACAACCCAAAAUCCUAACCUGUCGUGAUGGCGCCUAUCUCAAUACUAGAAAAACCGACAACCUCAAUAAACCACAAUUUCUCUUAAGUUUCAAAACAUAAUAUUUAAAUACAGUAGAAAAAUCUCACACAUACAGAUAUAAAUACACUCCCAAAACUCGAUGUCACUGAAUACAUGAUUAUCUAAAUGAUAACAAAGUCUAACUGAUAAAAUCACUGUCUAAAAAUGUAGAACAAUACAAUAACAGAAAGGAAGAGAGUCAAGGUCAGCGGACGCCAAGAAACUACCUUGAUAGUCUCCAACUAAUAACACUCUGAGAUCUAACAACCGUUGUAUCUGGAAGCACCUGGAUCUGCACACGAGGUGCAAGGUGUAGUAUGAGUACAACCAACUCAGCAAGUAACAAUACUAAAUAAAGAACUGAAAGUAGUGACAAGCUUCACAGUUGAGUCCAAUUACAGUAAUUUCCAACAUAACAAGGUAGGCAUGCUUUCAAGUUCAACAUUUAAUACCAAAGCAGUAAUUUAAUGUCAGGUUCAACUGAAACAUAAGAUAAUACCUCUCAGAAAUUUUUCAAAACAGUGGUAUAAUACAGUUGAAGUGCAACAAUAAUGAAAUUAAAUGUAUCCUCUCGGGACCACAGUCACUCAGCCAUUCUCAGCACUCAACACUCGCACUCAAUAGGUACCUACGCUCACUGGGGGUGUGCACAGACUCCGAAGGGGCGCCUUCAUCCCAAGCGCUAUAAUCCACACUAACAACUCACGUGUUGCACGAACAACUCAUGUGCUAUAGUAUAAUAUAUGGAUCCGCACGGACAACUCACGUGCUGCACGGAAAACUCACGUGCUAUAGUAUCAAUAUCUGGAUCCACACGGAUAACUCAAGUGUUGCACGGACGACUCACGUGCUAUAGUAUAAUAUCUCACAAUUAGGCCCUCGUCUUCAUUCAGUCAUAAAUCUCUCCAGUCUCUCGGGCUCUCAAUAAUCAUGAUAAUCAGCCCAAAAAAUAAUGAUAUGAUGCAUCAAUAAUGAACAAUAGAGACUGAGAUAAAAUAAAUAAGUAAAUUGUGACUGAGUACAACACAAUAAUUUAGCAGAUAAUUCAACAUGUACACGACCUUUGUGGGUCCCUACAGUGUCAGUACAUAAUCUAAACAUGAUUUGUGGUUCAAUUUCUAAACUACAUGGAGAAUGUACAGAUAACCACAGAUUAUUCAACUACACAGUUCUAUGGAAUUUGACCAAGUCACAAUUUCUACGGUACACGCCCACACGCCCGUCACCUAGCGCGUCACCUCAAAACCGAUCACAUAACACAAAAUCCGCGGUUCUAUACCCUCAGGACCAAAUUUAGAACUCUUACUUACCUCAAACCGUGUAAUUCUUUAUUCUGCUAUGGCUUUGCCUCGCGAAUUGGUCUCCAAAUGCCUCAAAUCUAGUCACAAAUAAUUAGAUUCAGUGAAUACUAAUUCUAAGAAUUGAUUCCAUAUGAAAAUAUUAAUUUUUCCAACAAAAUCUAAAAUUGCACCCAAACAUCGCACGUCUCGGAACCCGACAAAAAUUACAAAAUAUGAACGCCAAUUCAACCACGAGUCCAACCAUAUAAAUUUUACCCAAUUCUAAAUCGACCCUCAAAUCUUCAAUUUAAACCAAGAGUGUUUUAUAAAUUUUUUAACUUAAUUCACCAAUUAAAACUUAAAAACAACCAUGGUUUCUCGUAAUUUAACCAAUAUUGAGUUAAGAACACUUACCCCAUUGUUUUCAUUGAAAAUCGCCUCUUCCCGACCUCCAAUUUGUCUACCAUUUGCAGAACUUAAAGUUUCUGUCCAGGCGUGUCUUCUUCGCGAACGCAGAAGCUUCCUCGCGUUCGCGAAGCAAAAUAUUAUGCUUCCCGGAUUUCCUCCUUCGCGAACGCGAGCCCGGUCUCGCGAACGUGAAGACCAAAUUUUUCCAGUCCGGCUUUCCCUUCCGCGAACGUGAGGUCUCGAUCGCGAACGCGUAGCUUUCCCCCUCGACCCUUCACGAACGCGUGCCCUCGGUUGCGGACGCGUAACUUUGCCCCUCGACCUUUCGCGAACGCGUGCCCUCGGUCACGGACACGUAACUUUGCCCCUCGACCCUUCACGAACGCGUAACACAAAAUGGGCCAAUCCAAAUUUUCUCUUCGCGAACGUGAGAUUCCCCUCGCGAACGUGAUGAAGGAAACCAGAUACAUGCAUCAGAAAAUUUCAGCAGUUGUUUAAGUCCAAAUUUCGAUCAGUUAACCAUCCGAAACUCACCCAAGGCCCCGAGGACCUCGACCAAAUACACCAAUAAGACUUAAAAUAUCAUACAAACUUAGUCGAAACCUUAAAUCACACCAAACAACGCUAAAAUCACAAAUCACACCCCAAUUCAGCUUAACGAAACUAAUGAAUUUCAACUUCUAUAUUCGAUGCCGAAACCUAUCAAUUCAAUUCCAAUUGACCUCAAAUUUUGCACACAAGUCAUAGAUUACAUAACGGAGCUAUGAAAAUUUUCAGAACUGGAUUCUGACUCCGAUAUCAAAAAGUCAACUCCCCGGUCAAAUUUUCAAACUUAAAUUUCUAUUUUAGCAAGCCUAAUUUAGGUACGGGCUUCCAAAUAACAUUCCGGACACGGUCCUAAGUCCAAAAUCACCAUACAGAGCUAUUGGAAUCAUCAAAACUCUAUUCCGGGGUCGUUUUCCCAUAAGUCAAAAUCCGGCCAACUAUUUCCGCUUAAGCUUUAAGUCUUGGAACUAAGUGUUCCAAAUUCAUUCUGAAACCUCUCCGACAAGUCGCAUAAUUAUAAUUUGACACAGGAUAAGCAGUAAAUGGGGGAACGGGAUUGUAUUACUCGAAACGACCGGCCGGGUCAUUACAUCAUGAAAGGAACAUUGCUAACAAAGUGGGUAAGGAUACAUCAAAAGAUUAAGUUCCCAAACUAUAUUGAAGUUUUUAUUGGCACAUAGAAUGUCUGGUCGAGGACCACCAUUAACGAGAUAUAGACAAGGAGUAUUGAAUAGCCAAGAGUUGAGUGAGGAGGCUGGUAUAUAGAGUUUUGAUGAAUAUGAUUUGAGGUUGAACGAUGACCAAUUGGUCAAAGUAACACGAACCAGUUAAGGUCACAACUUAUAUCUUAUGGCUUCGGUGAGAAACAACACAAUGGUGCUAAGUAAAAUUGAGAGUUGGUUUUCUUGGUGGACAUAAAAGAUAUAUCGAAAAAGACAUGUACACUUCUCAGAUUCAGUAAAGACUGGAUAAGACCCCAACAUGACAAGCCACAAUGGUAGCCAUUUUGCAAGAACUAGUGGUGAUAUGUAUGAGAUGAGAUGUAUUGUACUGGACUACUGGUAAGAGAGGCACGUUUGCGACACUUAAAGCAUGCCACAUGUUAAAGAUACAUGUAGGAGACUAGAACGCUUCCUUAAUGGCUAAGGCCAUAUGAAUAGUUCAACAACUAAUGGUACAUAUGAGCACCAAUCGGAAAAAUAAAAGGGUAAGUGAAAGAGUUACGAAGGCAUGGGAUGCACGAAACACAGCUUCUAAGAUUGCAAAGGUAAUAUGGAUUGCCCAGGGAGGCAAAUUGAUACGGAAGGUCAAUGUUAAGCUUCCACAAAUCAAGUUAGUAUUGUUUUGGCACUAGAAUUUGUGAUAAAUAAAAGACACCAAGAAUACUCUCCAAAAUACACUUAGGUGUGCCAGGUGAAGUUCUUUCAACUCAGAAUGAUUUGAUUCCAACAUUAUAGAAAUCACAAGUCUUAUGGAGCUAAAAUUUAUACUUCUAACAAGCUGUGAAAUAUGGUAUAUGUGGCCCAAGGCCCAAGCACUUUGAAACAAUAGUGAUACGAUCUGGAAUGUAAAGGUUAAAAGCAAUUUAAUAAUAAAUAAUGUUGCGCUGGAAGCUCAAGUACGUCCAAAUCAAGCAAAUAGGUACUAUCGAAAGCGAUCAUGUAAAUAAUCAUAUAUAUGUACAAAUUAAAUUAGGUUUCAUGAAUGGUAACACAUGAGUUUAUGCAUAAUGAUAUAUAUUAUGCUUACACAUUAAUGUUAUAUUGUAUUUGCCAUAGUAAAAAGGGGCACAUUGUGACAAUGAUAUGGGCUCGAAAGGGCAAGAUAUAGAAAGCAUUAUCCAUUGAGGAAGAUCACAGAAAAGGUAUGAUUAUUGCAAAAAGGUCUACGAUCACAAAGUUAUGUUUUAGAAGAUCUUCUUUUUUUUUUAAACUAUUAUUUUAUACUUAAAGAAUGUAUACACUAUGAUGAUUUAUGAAACCCAUGGAUAUAGAAAAUCCUACAAGGGGCUUAUGGACAAGCAACAUGAUUUUGAUAAAACAUGCAUCCUCAAAUGCUUAAAGAAAAAUGCACAUGACAUGAAAGUCCUUGAUCUUAUGAAAGUUGGUUACCCAAUGCAUGGUUAUUGCACUGCCAUAAAUUAAUGUGUAUAACGGGAUCAAGAAUUCAAGUAAUAUAUAUAUACUCAAGAAGUCUCACUUGUUAAAGUAUGAUCAGAGUGUGAGCUAAAUAACUCAACAUUUGAAAGUCGUAACGAUAAUAUUGGUAAGGCAUAAUCAGUGUGGAACGACCAGUUGAGAUGAGAAAAGAUAAUAAACGACAAAAAGUAACAUGUAGCAGUUGAGAUGGGAAGUAAUGUUCCAAGGUGAACGAGACCAAGAGGGCUUUAACGAGCAUGAUGAUCUUACUUGCUACUCGAAGUUACUUAAAAGUGUAACAUAAGUUAUGUUUCAUGAAAGAAUAGCAAUGAAGUGGAGUUAUAAAUCGAGAAAGAUAGUGGUGUGCAUUGACAAAAGUAAUAUGUAAAGCAUGGGCAAUCAGAAGUUCAUCUAUAAAGUUAAAACUUGGUAAAGUUGUUUUCCACUCGAUAGGGGGCUCGGGAAUUUACUCACUCCAAAUUGAGGAAAAUGAUUGGCUAAGUGAAAUCACAAUAAGGUAUUGCUUUAGUUAAGAGAAUCUUACUUGUUAAAGAAAUGAUAAAAAUGAGUAUUAUCAACAACUUCUAUGUUAGGAGGGACAUGGUGUCCUAAAGUCUCGUGUUGGAAUCACAUGCUUUUUUCUUAAGGUAAGGAAAAAUAGCGUUACUAUCAAAUCAAAGAUAAAACCAUUAGUGGGCAGGGCGGAUAGAUUGGAAUGAAAAUUGAUAUGAAGAUAUUAUAGGGAGACAUUACCCUUGGGUUUUGAUAACCUAUUGACAUUCACAUAGACAAAUGACUCAACAACAUGAUGGAAAAGAAUUAUGUGAAGAUUCCACUCUUACUAACAUCGAAGCAAGUACGAAUUCAUGUCAACGUGAAGAUUCGAUACUCAAGUGAAAAAUAAGAAAAUUGAGAUAAGAUACACAAUAAGGGAUGAUUGAAGUUAUAAGAAAGUGUGCUAAAAGGUUGGGAAAUACUUCCAAUAUUUCUUAGUCUCCUAUUACUUGAUAGAAGAUGCGAAAUUUAAUAUGGCAAGUCUCAAAUGGUAAGUUAUCCAAUGGUUGGGAUAGAAAAGCGCAUGCUCUACUGAAGUGACAAGGUAGGAAAGAAAAUUCCUCGAACAUGAAAAGUAAAGGUCCCAGAUUAAGUGAAAUGCAUGAGUAAUGUGUUCAAGUAUUCACCAGUUGAAAUUUUAGUGUGCCAGAUAAUGUAGUCGAAUCAAAGGAUGCCCCCCACACACAGAUAAAGCUAGAUACCAAAGCGUUUCAAAAAUGUUACCAUACACAUAUAUUCAGUGCAAAAUAUAUUGGAAGGAAAUCAAGAGGUAGUCAAAUUUUGAACUUACUCUGCAAUAGGCAAUACAAACCAUAAUAAAACAUUUGCCUCAAGAAAUUACAAUCAGUAACAGGUACCGGGCUUAGUCUUUGUUCAUAAAGCCUUGGAGAAAGUAAGAUCAAUAACAAGAAGGCUUGAAAUUGGUAAAGUUAUCGAAAGUCAUUUGGGGUAUUAUAUCGUGAGUUAACCUCAUACACCUUGAUUUUAUGAAAGUAUCAUCAAUAAAAGGCGUCACAACUUUUGGGAAAGAAAAGCAAGUUGAACUCGAGGUUAAAGGAAGCUACAUGUUGGCCUUGUCUUUAGAAAUAUAUUCAGUCACUUAGUGUUAAUUUCUAUUCAUGAUCGACAAGUUCAACGGUUGAGAACAAAAAAAAUAGUUCCAGUUAAAGUCCUUAAGAGGGGGUCGCAUGGAAGGAAUAAAGUUAUGUGGAAAUUGAAGUUCUUUUAUUCUAAAGCUCGCAUAUUUUUUUAUAAUUUAUAGUCCUGAAAGUUAUGUAUGAGAUAAAAAUUACAUCAAGUUCGUAGUUGAAAGUGUUUCUAGUACAUAUACGUCAGACUCCAUAAGUUAUUAAAAAAAAGUGUAGAAUAUUCUCCUCAUGUGAAUUUUAUAGUGCAUGUAUUUCGAAGUCAGUAAAGCAAAUGUUUCAUGUGUUCAUCAUUAUGGAAAGUUCAUGUUUGUAUAGUAAUUCAUGUGUAUCGUUAUCGUGAAUAGCAAAGAAGUCCAUUUUGGCAUUUGUGAUCAUGUAUAUUGAUGAUAUAUUGCGUUGGAUGUCAUAUUUGGGUGUGAUACAGUUGUUACGAUGUAUUUGAGCCGGUUCAAUUUUUCUUUUGAUAGUCCUAUAUACAAAGGGAACUAUGCCAAAUUUUUUAAGAAUUUGGACAGUCAAAUUUUGGAUCUUGAAGUUGAAAGGAGAGUUGGCAAAUGGACUAGAACCUCUCUUAAGUUUACUGAGAGACUAUAAGCCGACAUUCGAGGAUGAAUGUUUACCAGCGGGAGAGAAUGUAAAGUCCCGUAUAUUAAUUAACAUUUAAUAUGGGCUAAUUAUGAUUCUGAUGAAGCGUUUGAGAAAUUUUUCAAAGUAUUUAUGAAGUUUCAUAAAGUUAAUAAAUUAAUUGAAAUAUGGUAGGAUGAACAAGUUAUUGCUUGGAAAAGUGCUAAAUUUAAUUUGGAAAACUAAAACAAAUUUUACUUAGACAACUUUUGGGGAUUCAAUACACUAUUAUCUCUUCUUAAUUAGUAGCCAAAUCUAAUACUUAAAAUAUGGCAUACAUGUAAAGAUAUUUAAUAAGUGGGACCCACAAAAGGCUUAGCUUUAUUAAAGGAAAAGAAAAAUACCAAGCAUUAGUUUUGUCCCAUUUUGUUGCCUUUCGUUACUCAAGAAAACGCAGCAACAAUAGUUGCUUUGCUUCUCCAUUUCAGCGAGAAAUGGAUGUCUUUAAGGAAACUUGGAAGCUGAAAAUUCUUGCAAGCCAAAGUGGCAACAACUACAAGAAUCGUAGAUCGUCUAGCUCUUGCUAUAAAUUUCUUCCAAAAUUUUAUGAACAUUUCAAGAUUGGGAUUUCUAGGGUUUGAGCCAAAGAGGUAAUUCUACUACUCAAGCUUCCUUUAUAGUGAUUAAAUAAUUUUUUUUUAAGGAUACUUAUGGGUAAUAUUUGUGGAAUGAAUGAGUUAUUGAAGUAAUCUUGAAAAUGACUGUUCUUGACAUUGAAGAGAUUAAGGAUGAAGAAGAUGAAUAGUAAGAAAUUAAUAAAAACAUGAUUGUUUGAUGAUUUUAACAACUUCAAAAGAACUUUAUCGAUUUCAAAGUAUAGAACUGAGGUAUUGGCCUUAAUAGCCAAUUAUCAAAAAAUGUUCAUAGGACCUACGGGUUAUACAGUUUAAAGAAAAAUGUAUUUGGAAGGACCAUAGUUAUUAUCGAUGAUGCGUACCAUAUAUUGUCUAGAGAGACACCUUACCGUGCUAGCACUAUUGCAAAAUCUCAUAGCAAUGGGUGAUGCAGCCUCGUGAUGAAGUGAUGGCUACUAUCGUCAAUAUCCUUCGGGUGAGAUGCCCAGGUUGAUCGGGGGAUGGUCAACAUACAGAUUCAAACACUGAUUACCGUUUAUAGUUAUUCUAGCUUAUGUGUACUAUAUAUUGUCCAGAGAGACACCUUAUCGUGCUAGCACUAUCGCCAAAAUCCAAUACCAAUGGGUGACGCGGCCUCGUGACCAGGCGAUGGUCACUAUCGUCAAUAUCCUUCGGGUGAGACGCCCAGGUUGACCGGGGGAUGGUCAACAUACAGAUUCAAACAUUGAUUUCCGUCCCGAUCGAAAGAUUUUCAGAUUAUCGAAAUGACAAAAAAAUGCUUACAAUUUAUUAAAAGGUGUAUAGCUGAUAAAAAUGAUCUAAUAUUCUGUUAAAUAUUACAUGAAAAUGCUUUUGCUCAUUGCUUUUCACAAGUAAUUUUAUGAAAUCUCAUACUUAUCAUACUUUAUGUAUCCCUAAAGUAUCGUUCCAACCUUAUCGGAAGGAGUCAAUGUUAAUUACGGGGUACAAUUAUUUAUAUUAUACUCAGCCCUCUUUUUCUUUGGUGGGAAUUGUGUGACAUUACAAAUAGCUUUGCCUUGGUGGUGGCGAGGCGAAUUAGGUUGCUACCACUCCUACUUCAUUACUUAUGGUGAGUUUUACCUUCUUCAUCAUGAAAGCUAUCUUAUAGUUGCCUAUUCUUAUGUAUAUUAUUAGAGGUUCCAUGGCAUAUAUUGUAGGAGGUCUAGUUAUAUACAAAAAAAUAACUUCAUUAUCAUUUUUUAUUAUAAAAAAGAAUUUAAAUGUUUCAUUGAAUUAUCGUAUUUUUAGUUCAUGAAAGGAUUAUAUAGUCAUAGUGGUUCGCUCGAUGCUAGUUAACGGCAUUGGAUGCAUGUCAUAUGUGUAUACCUAAAAUCGGGGCGUGACAAAAACCAUCUCUGAACUAUUUACGUGGUUCGCUCGAUGCUAGUUAACGGCAUUGGAUGCAUGUCACAUGUGUAUACCUAAAAUCGGGGCGUGACAAAAACCAUCUCUGAACUAUUUACAAAGUUCUCCUCCAAUCCUUCUUUUUUUGAUAGAAAGUAAAAAUUUAUUGAAGUAUGUGACCAUCACAUCGGAAAAUCUUAAUUUGUUAGAGAAAACACACUUUAUUUAGUAGUUAUUUAUAUGUAUUCAACAAUACAUGCAUGUUGCUCUCUUCUUAAUCAAUUUAUGCUAAAGGGCAAGUUUUGGUGUACCACAUGCAGUUCUGGCACGUCUAGAGGGGAGAGCAAAUUGAUAACAUCAACAGAUGGAGAGCUUGGGAGGAGAUUACAGCUUCACAAACUUGUGAUGUCUGUGUUGAGCUAAGUGGCUCCAGAUUUUGGAAAGGGUAAAGGAAUAUAUUUCAUGUUCAUAACCGCUGAAGACAAGACCCCAGGAGGAUUAAUAGCUCGCUUUCUUUCAACUAGUAUUUACAAGAGUCCUUAUUUUAAGUACAAUCAUCUUCAUCACCACCAAGAUAACUACAUUUGUCCAACUGCAACCAUUUUGUGCUCAGACUCUUACCAAAGCAUGUACUCGCAAAUGCUUUGUGGCCUCUGCCAAAACCAACAAGUUUUUCAGGUUGGCUUAUUUUUGCAACCACCUUCAUUUGUGCCAUGCGAUUCCUGGAGAAGCACUGGUCUCUACUUUGUAAUGAUAUCCGCACCGGAAUCAUUAUCACCCAAACAACUGAUCCUUCAGUGAGAAAGGAAAUGAUAGAAAUCCUCAAAGAUGGCAAAAAAAUUAGCUGAUUUCAUUGAGGCUGAAUGCAGCAAAGAUUCAUGAUAAGGGAUUAUCACUAGGCUAUGGCCUAAUACAAAGUAUGUGGAUGCUAUUGUGACUGGAUCCAUGUCACAAUAUAUACCGAUACUUUAUUAUUACAGUAAUAGCAUCCCUCUUAUCAGUACUCUAUAUGCUUCCUCGGAAUGUCACUUUAGAAUCAACUUGAACCCUUUCUGUAAGCCCAGUGAAGUCUCUUACGCCCUUAUACCCACCAUGUGCUAUUUUGAGUUCUUACCAUAUCACGGAAAAAGUGGAGUCAUUGAUUCUAUCUCUAUGCCCAAGUCGCUUAAUGAGAAAGAACAACAACAAUUGGUUGAUUUGGUUGAUGUCAAGAUUGGUCAGGAGUAUGAGCUUGUCGUUACCACAUAUUCUGGUAUUUUCAAAUUCCAAAUAAAAAGCUUUUGACGCAUUUUUUUUUCCCCAUUUAUCUGUCAAACAUGUUGUCUGCCAAUGCUUAGCUUUGCUUGAACUUGUGCCAUUUCAGGACUCUAUAGAUACAGAGUUGAUGAUGUGCUUCGGGUUGCUGGAUACAAGAACAACGCGCCUCAAUGAUGGGGUCCACACCCAUUAAUAGAAAAAAAUAAAGGGAAUCUAAUGAUGGCAAGAGCAAGUUUUAGAGUUGGCAACCAAUUUGCACGGUAAAUUACAUAGUGCAAGUUGUAAAGUGAGAUCCAAUCUUCCGAUUGGUUAAUUGGGGCAGUCAUUCCCUCUAUAUAAGGAGAGCUUCAGCUCUUAUUUUAUACACCAAUCUCAGUGGAAAAAUAUAUCUGAGAUUUAGAAAGAAAGAGUGAGGUUUCACCAAUAGAGUAUAAGAAAAUAGUCUGUGAGAAAAAUAAAGAGUGAGCGAUAUUGUAGUGGGGUGAGAAUAUCAAAAGAUGAUUAUUUCUUUUGAGUGUUUUAGUGGUCUUUGGAGUAUUUUACUAGGACCUACAAAGUGUAAAAAUUCCUUGUUAUAGUGAUAUCAGUUGCUCAUCUCGGGGCCGUGGUUUUUUUCGUUAUUCAAAAGGGUUUUCCACAUAAAAAUCUUGGUGUCGUU